UCAAGACCGGAUAUGGGUCGGGUCUCAAUCGGGUACGGAUAUCCGUAUACAUAUAUUUUUUUAUAGACUUUAUUAAAUUAUCUGGGCAGAGCUUAUUUCGACCAUAAUAUUAAUUGAUUAAAAAUCUAAAAUUCAAAACAAUUUCAUAUGUAAACACACAAAAAUAAGAAAAUUAUGAUACCAUAUUAUAGAUAAAGAGAAUAUAAGUUGUAGCAAUUACUAAUAUUAUAUACUAACAUUCAAAAAAAGAAAAAAAAAAUAAGGAGGAAUUAAAAAAUUUACUAAAUAGAAUAUUCAUUAAAAAAAAACUAGGUUGUCGACUAUGAUUGGAGAAGGGAUUUGAAAAAAAACUCACUCGUGCCACGUCUGUAGAGGAUUAAUAUCGCUGAUGAUGAUGACCAUGAAAAUAUUGUUUCAUAAAAAUCUCAUAGGCGUAAAUGAAACAAAAGAAAUAAAGAGUAAAAAAUAAAGAGAAAAUAAAUAAGAAAAAAGAAAAGAGUAAAAGAACGGCCAGGGUUUCAGUGUUCUAUUAGAUCCCUCAUCUAUAAGUCCUAUUAAAAUUGAUCCAUCAACUUCAAAAGUUUAAAUAUUUUUUCUUUACUAUCGGAUAUUUCAUCGGGUCCGGGUUCAGUCCGGAUUUGAAAACUAUUCCGGACCCUACCCAUUUAAAAGUUGGGUUUGGGAUGGGUCUAAAUCAGGUACAGGUGUAAAAUAUCCGGAUCCUUACCCGAAACGUUAAUGGGUAAUUUAUUUUACCCAUAUACUAUCCAUGUUUUAUUGAGUUCGGUUUGGGUCAGGAUAGGGUCCGGGUAGGGUUCGGGUCGGGUAUGGUAUAUCAGAUAUUUUGAAUAGCUUUAAUAGAAAUAGGAUAAUAAAUGAGCAAGAAUUAACUACUACUGAAUAGAAACUCAACUAAACAGAUGCCUCAAGGAUAAACAAUUCAAAUCAAACCUAAUCCGGUGCCUGCCAUAUUGGUCCGCAGAUCUCAAGCGUUGCCUGUCACAUUGCCUGCACCGACCUGAUUCAUGCGUCCACUGAACGACCUAUCCGGAUAAGUACACCCCUGGUCGGUGGCCAAAUCAACCUGGUGUCAAUGAAUACAUCCAACUGCUGUGACUAGAUUAUGUUGAUAUGCUCAAUGCAAAAAUCGGUAGAAAGCCAGUGCCUUGGCCGAAACCAGAUAUAAAGACGUACAACGCCGAACCACGAUCAACUAGAUCGAAACACACGACAAAGGAGUUGAUAUGUAGCCUGGACCCAAGGUCCACAGAUAUACAACAUAUGCAAGCUUGCUCUACAUGUCUAUCAAUAAUUAUCAUUAUGCAAUUAAUAAGGUAUAGAUGAACGAACAAUAAACAAAAGUAACUGGCAUGUAGAGACUACAAUAUUGAUAUAGACGAACAGAGGAAAGUGAAACGAUUUCACCGAUUACCAGCUCGAAGCAUCCACAUGUCACUAUCGCGUCGAAAACCUGGGUGUGCGUAAUAAGUCAACCGAACCUACGAAGAUUCACUGGGUCAGUAUUCAACCCACCAAUCCAAAAUACCCAACUCACGAACCCCACACAAUCCCCGAAAUCGGUUUUCUAAAACCGAUCUCCGUAACUCGCUAGAAGUCCUGAAAAUCACACCGGGAUACCGUCGGGACCGAUGAAGUGUCCCGAAACUCACCGACUCGUGUCACGAGUCACCCGCUGCCACAAAACACACCGAUUUGGAUGUCUUGGCAGCAAACACAAGGUAACACAACCAAACAAUUAUCUGCGGAUAAUUGUUCAGUUCCGGGUUCUCGGAAGUGUCAAUGUCGACAUCGGAACCCACCAUCGCUCACCCGUCAUCUCAGAGAACUUAUGAUAUGAUGAUGGUGACUAGCUGACAAGGCUCAGGGACACAACCCAGGGCAAACAAACACCGUCAGAUGAAAUCCGAACCGAAACCGCAUUCCGCCGGCAAAUUUCACCGAAAAACGCACCCUUCGAUUUCCGCAAUGGCUAACGGACCUUGGACGAUCAGUCUAGAGGUCACCUACCACAUGUACGUACUGCCCACAGUAAUCACAAAAUGCAAAAUUGCAUAAAAGUCCCUACAUUUACAUAAAAUCCUAUUAUUUUAUGUAAAUAGGGUGUUUUUGUGGCUAGUUAACGCAAACCGAGGACUUCUGAGGUCCGUCUAGACACGUACUGAUAGGUCUCGACGUGUCGGAGGCCGUGCUCAUGAUCCAAAGCACAACGGCUUAUUGUGGGAGGCGCGGGAGUGACCCAAAAAUCUGCAAACUGCGCGCACUUGGGGUAAACCGCACCGAACAAGCUGAUUCAGAAUCCGUUGAUCCAAAGUGAGGUGAGCACUGUGAUCAACACUGACCAACGAUUACCGUGCUCACCUCUGGAGGCAUCGGGACAGCCUCGGAUCACCGAAAAGACAAGCACAAUCCAGAACAGUAGUCAAAAGCCCUACACUAUGCUUACUGGAGCAGUGGGAGCUAGGGCACGGCCGGCGACGGCUCAACGGUGGGCGGGUGCGGCCGACGUGGGGAGGCCGGGGCUCGCACCGGCAGACGAGGGGAGGCGGCGAAGGCGGCUGUGGAGCAACCCGAGCCCGCAAAAAUGAAGCUCGGGCUCGACUCGCUUCUCCGGCUACGACGAGGGUCGGGGUGGCCGGAGGAGCAGUGCGGGGUCCCUCUGGGACCGAGGGGGAGGGAUGGGGACGGCGGCCGGCGGCUGAGGUCGCGGUGUUGUAGUGCUUGGCCACACCAGCCUAGGCUGGCCGCAGGUUGGCAGUAAUGGCGUGGCGGCGCACGGGGCAGCUGCGACCGGCGGGGACGGUCGCCGAGGGUCCGGGGGAGGCGGCAGGGGCAGCUUCAGGCGGCGGCGGCACGAAGGGAGGGAGCUGAAGCCCUCUCGGCCCGUGCUGGCCCUAGAUGGCUGCAGGGCUGCUGCAGCGCGGCAACGGCGUUUGGGGGCGGCGGCAGUCGACGGUGAGGUUCGGGUCCGACAGCUGGUGACCACCAAAGGCUAAGGGAGGAGGGUUCGGGUCCUCCCUUAGCUCGGGAUGAAGGGUGGGUGGAGAAGAUGAUGGAAAAAGAGAGGGAGAGGGAGAAAAGUGGCUGAGGAGGUGAUGGCUGGUUGGAGUUUGGUCGGCAGUGGCUGGGAGGCGUGUGGUGCAUGAGGUUAGGGGGAAGAGGCGGCUGAGAGUCAGCUGGGGGCUAGGGUUGGGGUUUGCAUGGUGCAAACUCUAGAUGGGCUAUAUAUACAUAAGGUGUAUAAUUGCGAGUUAGUCCACCGAAACUCGAUAUUUUAACUUGAGUCCCUAACAGCGCGAGUAAAACGCGCGAACACACCCCCAUGUCCAAUUUCACGUAAAAUAGUACAUAAAAUAUAGGGCUUUUCGCAAAAUUACCGUUUAGCCAUCUAUAACCCCUCCUCGAUCAAUGCGCGAUAUCAAGAGAUCCGUUCGUCAGAUUUGCGAUUGGAUUGCACCACUGCGAUCAGCAUGACAAAGACCUCAAACUCAUAAUUUUGUUUCGCCUGAUUUGGUCACAGAUUUGCGACGAAACCCAUCCUUUCUCCAAUAGGCAAAACCACCCACAAAUACAUAAAAUAUAUGUAUAACCCGUUUUCUUGAAAUCCGUGCGUCAAACCUGAAAUCCGUCAGCGCUAAUGGUUCCAGAAUAGUCAGACCAUUAAAAAUGAGCCAUUGGAUCACUAUGAACGGAGUCCAAUACGCACUAGAAGCCAUCUUUACACCUUGGCCUCUCCGGAAAUCCGGAUUAUUAUUCACUUUAAGUGAAAAGUAAAUAUCGCGUAAAAUCUCCAUUCUAACUCGUUUCUCUCGAAACUUGACGAGUGCUUUUGUAAUUAAAUUACACACAAAAAUAUUGUCAGUCUAGCUAGACUGCUAAAAUCUCAGUUCUUAUAUUACUACUGAUAGUAGCUCGAUCAAGCUAAUGAAAAUAAAAACUUUUAGAGAAUAUCAGUUGUUUCACAAGUAUUAGCUCAUUAAAACUUAAUUCAAUAGUUUGGCCAAUUUAAAUUCUUUGCAUAAUCUUACAAAGCUUCAAAAUAUUAAAAUAUACAUACUUUUUUGUUAGCUGAUGAAAACAAAACAUUGAAUUAUAAAAUAGGACGACUACAUCUUUGACUUUUAUUCUAUCAUUAUUUUAAUUCAUGCACGAGAAUGGAGAAAGUUUUUCUCUCUUCAUUUUAAAAAUUUACAAGAUCCGCGAUAUGCGACAAAAAUUAUACACGCAAUUAUAUGAGCAGAAAAGUUCACUGAAUUUUUUAAUAUAUAAAGUUAAAAAAAAAAUAUUAAUAAGUUAAACUUCUACUUUCACAAAAUGAAACUCGCGGUAAUUGAUAUUUGGCUAAAAACAUUUUUUUUUAAUUUAACUAAAAGAUCAAUUUGCAUAAAAAAUUCACUAGUUUUGUGAUUUUGCAAAAGCGGGCCAGAAUUUUAGAUUUUACAGAUUAAGGCCGAAUGUUAACAAACUGACCAAAAUACCAUAAUUCUUUUCUAUCUCUUCUUUCGUUUUUUUUUUCUUCAUUUUUUUUUUCUCUCCGACCCUCAUCGCCUCUUCCAUCACCUCUACGGCCUCGGCGACGGUAACGAGAACGGCGUCAACUUCUCUUCCUCCAUCACUUUACAACGGUAAUAAGGGAAGCGCCAUCUCCUCUUCCUCUGCCUCCACCUCCGCCGGCGCUAGAGAAGGAGAAGGGGAACUAGCAGGCUCGGGUGAGGGCGGAGCGGACGGAGACGUUGAAGUAGUUGCCGAGGAGGUGCUCGCCGCCCGUGAGGGUGAGAAAAAAAAAAAUGCGCCCGUCUCUAAGAAACGAACAAAGAUGCAGAAGGUAGAAAAAAAAAAGAAUAAAAAGUAAAAAAAAUAAAGAAAAAAUAUUUCUCUUUGAAAGACCAUUAUAUAUUAUUGCUGCUACCCAAAAAGUUAAGAAUCAGAGAAAAAAAAAAAGAAGAUAAAGACUGCAUUAUUAAAAUAAAAUUACAAUUUUUUAUAAGAAAGUUGCACUGUUUAAUAUGAACGUUACACUCUUUGAGAUGAAAAUUACACUUUUUGAAAUAAAAGUUAUACUCUUUCGAUAAAAAUUAUACUAUUUCAGAGAAAAUUGUACUAUUUUUCGACCCUCAUUGCCUCCUCCUCAGCAUCUUCUUCUUUCUCUUCCCUUGUUCCCGUCCUCUUCCUCCCCCUUCGAACCCUAUCCUCACCAACGCAAGCCUAUCUACCUCGAGCACCACAUCGAAACGUCAAAACACGGAAAUGGCCUACCUCUCUUCUUUUUUUUUACCUUUAUCACCUCCUCCACCACUGUCUCCACGGCUCUCGAUGACGGUAACAAAGGUGUCUCCACCUCUUCAUCCUCCAUCUUGUCCUCCGCUGGCGCCGACGACUCUCGACGACCGUAGUAAGGGCUGCGCUGCUUUCUCUUCCUCCAUGUCCGCCUCCGUCUUCACUUUCACCGGCGCCGAGAAGGAGAACUGGGAGCGGGCCUGCGUGAGGGCAGAGUGGACGGAGGUGAUAAGGUUGUUUUCGUGCUUCAGCCCUCAGAUGCGGCGUGCAGGUAGAGAGGCUCGUACUGGUGAGGAUGGGGGUCGAAGGGUGAGGAUGAGGCGGAGGGGGAGGGGGGUCAAGGAAAAAGGAAGAAGAAGAAAAAGAUGAUGCAAUGAGGGUCGGAGAAUAGUACAAUUUUUUCUAAAAUAGUAUAAUUUUUGUUGAAAUAGUGCAAUUUUUAUUUUAAAGAGUGUAAUUUUUAUUUCAAAGAGUGCAACGUUCAUAAUAAAUAGUACAAUUUGUUUGUAAAACAAUAUAAUUUUAUUUUAACAAUACAACUUUCAUCAUCUUCUUUUUUUUUUCUCUGAUUCUUAAACUUUUCGGUCGCAGUAAUAAUAUAUAAUGGUCUUUCAAGGAGAAAAAAAAUUUCUUUACUUUUUUUCCUUUUUAAUUUUAUUUGUUUCUAUCUCCUGCAUCUUUAUUCGCUCUUUGGAGAUGGGCGCGUCUUUUUUCCUCACCCUCACAGGCGGCGAGCUCCUCCUCGGCAACAACCUCAUCGCCUCCGUCCACUCCGCCUUUACCUGGAUCUGCUUCGAGUUUUCCUUCUUCUUUUCUGGGCAGGCAGAGACGGAGGCGGAGGUGGCGUCACCCUCGUUACCGUUGCCUAAAACUAUAGAGGCGGUAGAGGAGGCGACAAGAGUCGGAGAGAAAAAAAGAAUGAAUGAAAAAAAAGAGGGAAAAAAGAAUCGGAGUAUUUUGGUCAGUUUGUCAAAAAAUUGGUCCGAAUCUGCAACACAAUAUAGUGGCUCACUUUUGCAAAAUCACAAAAUUGUAGAUUUUUUAUGCAAAUUGGCCAACUAAAAUUUUAUUAACUCUUGUUUAGCGCCCUUUACAAUCCAUGUAUAGCAUAAUUUAAGAGUAACUAUCUAUAUUUAUCCAUUUUAAUUUAGAAUAUUAUUUGAUAUAUUACAGAAAGAGACAAAAGUAGAAGUGAUUUAGUACAUUCUUUUAUUAUGCAACGUAAAAGUAGAAGUGAUUUAGUCUAUUCUCUUUAAAAUAUUUUGGAAUCAAAUUUUAUGUUAUUUUAAAAUAUUUUGAAAUUAAAUUUUACGUUAUUUUGAAAUCAUUUAUCAAAUGAUCAAGGAGUCUCAAAGUUAAUAGAUUUUAGUUGACUGUGUGAGUUAUAUUUAAUAUAUUUAACGAUUUAUUAGUUGAAAUUCUACUAAAAGAUACUUCAAACAAUUUGCAUCAAGAUUGGUGUCAUCCAUCUUAAAUUGAAUUGGCUCGUGAAUCAAAUAAAUCUGAUCAUCGUAUCAAUUUUUGACGCUUUAAUUAUUAGACAAAAAAUGCCGAUAUAAAAUAAAAUUCUAUUUUCAAAUAUCUUAAAUAUUAUAUAUUGUGAUAAAUAGUGCGGAUUGUGAAUUCAGAUGCUCAAUAUGUAGGAGAGUUAAAACGGUGAAGGGACCAUCCAAUUUUUGUUAUUAUUAAAAGUAUGGUAAUAUUUAUUGGCCAAUUUGCAUAGAAAAUCCACUAGUUUUGGGAUUUUGCAAAACCGAAUCACCUUUUUUGUUUUUGCAGAUUCGAUCCAAUUUUUUAGCAAAGUGAUCAAAAUAUCCUUAUUACUUUUUCUCCCUCCUCUUUUUUUUCUCUCGUUUUUUUUUUUCUCUCUCCGAAGAAGGCAGCGGAGGCAAGGCGGAGGCGGAAACUGCUCGCUUGCCUCUCACCCUCGUGCUCUCGCCCUCGCCCUCGCCCUCGCCCUCGCCCAUGCACCCCACGCCUUCCUCUUCUCCAACCCCGCCGAGGCCGCGCUGCGACUCUUUUUUUCUUCCUCUCCAACCCUCCUCUACCGCCUUCGACGACGACACCUCUCUCACCCUUCCCCGCCCUUUCCCUUUCCCGCCUCCUCCACCGCCUCUGACGAUGACGCUUCUCCGUCGACGCUGACGCCGCGGAGGUCAUUGCGGCGCCGCAGCCUCAAAGCAGGGGGUUCUUAGCGGCGUCGUCGCCAGCACUGUAGCUGUUGGCGGAGAGGCAUGAUGAAAAAAAAUUAUAGAAACAGAAAGAAGAAAAAAAAUAAAGACCAAAAUAUAUAGAAGAAGGAAGAAAAAGAUGAAAUAAAAGAUGAAAUUGCACUGUUAAAAUAAAAAUACACUGUUUAAAAAUAUUUUGCAUUAUUUUAAAUAAAAGUUGCUUUCUUGAGAUAGAAAUUACACUCUUUGGAAUCAUAUUUACACUCUUUAGGAUAAAUUUGUACUAUUUGGAUGAAAUUUACACAAUUUCUCUUUCUCUUCUUCACAUUAUUUCUCUUUCCUUCUUCUUCCUCCUCUUCCUCCUCUUCCUCAUUCCCCUCAUCCUCAUUCUCGUCCUCAUCCUCCUUCACCCCGAGAGAAGAGGGUAGGAGGGGCGGUAGCGAUGCAGGAGCGAGCGUCGGCGACAUCAUCAUUGAACGCGGCGGGCGCGAACCCCGCGGUGCCCAAAAUAAUUUAUUUUUUUAAAAAACUAGUUUCAUUUAUUUUUGAGAAAUCAAAUCUAAAUUGUUUAACCAGAACUUCAAAGCAGUAAAAAUUCAAGAUUGAAGUACGAGCAGGCAUUAGUUAUCCUAAACUCUAUGUAUGCUACAAAAUCACAAAGAAUCGAAAAAGGGCUCGUCCUAUGCUUUCCAUGCCUUUUUGAGUAGUUAAUGUGGGUGAUUCCUCCUGAAGCUAAAAGACACCUGCGAAAACACCAAAUCAUACCAUGUUAUGUGUUUUCUUUUUUAUUUUUAAUUUUUUUUUUGUACACAUGUAAAUCAUAUCAUGUUGUUGGGACCAUUAUUUGAUCUGAUCAGAGGGGCAUUUUAUUUUAUUUUAUUUUAUUUUUUUUGAAUCAACUAAGAUUCGAAUUUGGGUUUCGAGUAUCAACCAUCAAGUCCUUUGCCACUUGCUAUAGAGACGGUUGGUACCCAAACAGAAUUGUUAAGAUAGGAAGAUUGUAGUUCCCUUAUAAGUGAUAAGGGGGAAUAAGCCUGAAAUAAGUUAACCACUAGCUUUGCCUUUCAAUCCAAUUCAAGUCCAAAUUUAAUCUCUACAUAUUCAUUAACAUAUAUAUAUAUAUAUAUAUAUAUAUAUAUAUCAUAUAGAGCAGACUGCUGUGCUCUUAGGAGGCAGCGAAGGCCUCGCAUGCUCCUGACGUCGUUUUCGAUGCAUCGGAAUUUUCGAAAUCCCGACGAUCCGCGCCUCAAUUAGACAUGAUCAUAGCGUAUUUGAAAAUUUUAGAAAAUAAUCUUUCUGAAUUUUUCGAUAUCAUUUACCCUAGGCGCAAAUCGAGAAGGAUUCAAAAUCAAUAAUCGUUUUAAACCGGGCUGAAAAUAAAAAUCCUAUACAAAACUGAUGAUAUAGUACUAAAUUUUUUGAUACCAGAAAUAUCGAUCUUGUUGGUAGAUAAUGAAAAAGAAUUUUUUAUCAAAAUUUUAUCUGAUUUGAUAUACUUCUAAUACAGUUAAACUUAAGACAGAUAUCAAGAUCAUUACAAAAUUAUUGAUUUUGAAUCCUUUUGAUCAUUAGGUACAAUGAUAUAAACAAAUGCAAAAAAUUAUUUUCUAGAAACUUCAAAUACGCUAGAUCAAUCUACACGAACGCCGUCGUUGAUUCGAAAAAUUCCAUCAUCCGAAAACGCUCAGGCACACGAGGCCUCCCGUGGCUCCCUGAAAGGCACAAACCAGCCCUGCUAUAUAUAUAUAUAUAUAUAUUAUAAAGAGAGAGAGAGAGAGUCCGGCUUACUAUAUGCUAUUAAUGCACAAAAACAACUUGUGGUACCAAGUUUUCCGCCGUAGAUCUAUCCUUUUGAUCAUAUUCACCUGUAGAUCAUAACUAUUCAACCAACCACUACCCUCCAAGCCUAGGGGCCCACAUCAUCCUAACCGCACAUCUUUUUAAUCCAAUGCCAAAAAAACACACCACCACUUAGUGCUAUUAGAUAGUAUAUUAGGCCUAGUUCUCUGCUCUUCUGCUCUCUCUCUCUCUCUCUCUUCUUAUAUUUUGUUGGUUUCUGUCUCACCCUUACUUGUCGUUCAUUAUAUAAUUAUAAAAUACCCAUUCACAUUCACUAAUUAAUAAUUGUUGAAGGGCACUUUCAUAGGUAGUCUUUAAAUAAAAUCUUUUUGUUAACAACAUAUCUAAUAAAUUAAUAUUGAAUGAUUAAAAUAUAUUUUUAAAUCUUUAAUUUUAAUAUUCUAAUUUCACAUAUUAUACCAAAUUAUAAAGAGUUUAAUUUUUGAAUUCAGAUAAAGUCGGAUGGCUCAAUUCACUAUAAAUAAAAUUUGAAUUAAAAAAUUACACUUAAAUUUAGAUUUACAAUUUUGAAUUUAAUAAAUUAUUUUAUCUUUUACAUUUCUUUUUUUGCAUAUUUAUUUGACAUCUAUAUAUGAAAAUUCUCUUAUAAAAAUAAUAAUAAUGUAUACUGGUAUCUGCUUUUAAAAUCACAGUGCUCUUUGUCUUUAUACCUGUGUGGGUUGUUUAGGCGGUUGUUGGUUGCAUGAAAAUAUAAUUAAAAAUAUAUAUACAAUAAUGUAAUAUUGUUGAAUUUAUAACUAUUAGAGAGAUGGAGUUUCAAUAAUUAUUUUUAUGAUUUGUGAAUGAAUUCACUAUAUAAAACUUUUGUUUCACAUAAAAAAUUAUUUAACCUUAUAUAUAUAUGUAUAUUGAUAUUUACUAGCUUAUUGUUGAUAUCUUUUUUAAGUUGUUUAUUAUUUUAAUUAAAUUUAAAAAUAAUAAAUUAUUAUCUUUUUUUUACCAAUAUAUAAGCUGUAGUGUUUCUGGGCUUUGGAUAUGAUUGGCUUCAGUAUUAGUGACUGGUCGACAUCUCUGGAGAGUGUCGGAUUGAGUCGGAGUCAAUUCUGUACGAAUUGGAUGCAGAAUUGGACUCGACGCACUCAAAUAAGCAAAACUGGAGUUUUGCUAGAUUUGGGCGCCCAGAACAUUAUUUAGGUCGCCCAGAACUGAAUGUUGAAUUUAACUGAAACUGGAAGCCAAUUCGGAUCCUAUGUUCCGGGCGCCCAGAAGUGGGUCCGGAAAUUCUACAUCGUGAAUAUCGUUUGCUUCGACGCGUGGCAGGGUGUAGGUGAGUUCCGCCGGAGCCAUUUACGCGCACAGCAGACCACGAGCGGAGAGUCCAAGGAGCAUGAGUUGUGCAAUCAGGAUGUUCUGGUCGCCCAGAACAUGGUUCCGGGCGCCCAGAAACGCCCGUUUCUGCAAGAACACUGGAUAGCAGCUGUUUCUCUUGAGGCUUAUCUUAUUCCUCCAGCACCCUAUAAAUACCUGGUAUACGUCCCCUUUGAGCUCUUUUACCUGUUCUUUACAGAGAACUUAGAUUUUACUCCCUAAUCCCUCCAAUCUUUUCAAUUUGCAUCAAGAUCCACCACUCCAAGAAUUGCAAGGUGCUGAUUCUGCAGUUCUUCAGCGACGACCUCCAGUGUUUUGGCUCGUGCGUGACGUAGGAAGGUCGGAUUUCGGCGAAACUUGGUUUGUUGGAUUCUAGACUUCCAGAGGAAUCCAUGAAGGCCUGAAUUGCAGAUUUUAGAUGAGGUUAGCUUGGUCGAACUGAGAUUUUUCUGGACUGCUGUUGACUUUGAGCUGAAAAUGGGAUUUUGAGCUUUUCUUGAUGCUAACUUUGUAGGCAGUGGGAUUUUGGAUCUGAGAUUGAUCACCAAUCAGUAUUUGCUGGAUUUGGAACUGUUCUCACCCAAAUUGAAAAUCAUUAGGUGAGUUUUGACAUUGGAGUUGAGAUAAUUUAGCUUAAGUGCUGAAAUUCUUGGUAAAUUGAUAGUUUUGUUGGAUUUUUGGGUGAAUUGUAAUGUCCAGAUUUUGAGGGAAGUUGUUGCUGGUUUGGGGGUGUUACCAGUUGUGUUACUUGUGAUCCGAGACCAUCUUGCUGCCAGGAAUUGCUCUAGAGGUGGGUGUAUCAUCGGUUUCGCUCCUAAGUGCAUGUUUAGUCGACGUGUAUAGUUCGGUUCUCGUAUAUCAUGCUUAAAUUCAUCAAUUAGUAUCUUGACUGCAAUAUGAAUGUAAAGGCAUGCUGAAAUGAAUAUUUUUUAUUAUACAUGUGGACUUGAAUUUUGACUUAGGAGAAAAUCUGCGUUUUGACCCGUCAUAUGCUUGAACUACCAGAUUUAGCUCUAGGAGCCAUGGUUCGAUUGUAUCUUUGCAGUAUCAGUGCGAUGGAUAUCUGGGGUAGUUUAGAAGGCAUUUACGCUCGUGCUGGGAUGCCGAGCUUAUUUUUCAGCAGAGUCUAGGCUGUUUCGGGUUGUUGGGUGCCGCCCGGGUUGGCGGUGGACCCAGAUUCUUGUUUUGGUCCCAGAUUGUGCCGAGGGCACGUGGGUUUGGGUUGUAGACCUGUUUUGACUCUGUUUACAUGACUUUGGCUAGUUGGAGCCUGAUUGAGGUCGACAGAGAUAUGCUGCAUACUCGGUUAGGUAGCUCUCACGAGUGCCACUCCGGAGGCGGGCGCUAUGCUAUUGCGUUGGUGUCGUGUAUGCCAGUUAGACUUUCUCUUCACGGACUGAUUAGUGUGGAGGUAGCUGGAUAGUCUCAACUGAGCGGGACGGGUAUAUUCACAGUCCCAGGGACGGGUAUAUUCACAGUCCCAGGGACGGGUAUGCUUACAGUCCCCAUGAGAUUGGUUCAGUGUUGACAUUUACUACAGAUGGUUAGUUAGAAUAGGAUAGUAUAGUGGCAUAUAGCUGUAGAGUAGUCCAGCUUUCCUUUACUAUUUCUGUUUAUUCCCGUAGACUUAGUGGCUGGACCGAUGUGUUGAGGGCGGUACCCACUGAGGACUACUUAUUUUGUAGUAGUUUUCACGCCCAGUUUGUUUCCACUGUUUUGCAGAGCCAUCGUGUUAGAGCCCUACCCGACGAGCCGAGCUAGAAGUGCCCUACUGCAGGUAGUUGUUUUGUUGAAGUUCAUGUACUUACCUAUCUUUAACUCGCUAGUGCGAGUAGUUUUGUAUCUUGGAUUUUGGGGUAUGUAUAUGAAACUCGGUUUGUUUUUCUUUUGUUCUUCUAGCAGCUCUAUACUACUGUUUGUAGUAUUGUAUGACCUACAGGUACAGCUAUCGCUUCGUAUACAGAAAAAAUUCUUUUGUAUACGGCGGAUUUGUCGGCGCGCCCGGGAAAACGAGUAAUCCGGGGCGUGACAGAUUAAGUUGGUAUCAGAGCUUAGUUGUAGGUCGUUGGGACCUAGAAACCCUAAGUUUGGCAACCUUUAGGAAGGCAAGACGCGAGAGGCGUGAUUUAUCGCGAAAGUCAACGAUUUGUUGUUCUAACUCCUCCUAGAGUGGAGUGAGUGAUUGGAGGAGUUCCCGUUCUGUCCUGAAAAAUUAUGUUGGCUGCAGACGACAUAAUUUUGAGGAGAAACAAGGGCCGCAUUCCAGACUUUCGUUUGAUUGGGUCGACAGUGUUUUGUUGUAUCUGACUCCUGUUUUGUUCUUUACAGCUAUGUAUCGUCGCCGAGGUCUACCGUCGCUCAGAGAUCGUGCCGCCCCGCCCGAGAUGCCUGAGCAGGCAGAGCCGAGUGCACCACCUGAGGUGAGUGCACCCCCAGUUGUAGAGCAGAGGGCCCGACCGGAGGCGAGUGCAUCCCCGGAUUUGAGUGCACAGUUAGCCGCCCUGACAGAGGUGACGAGGCGGCAGGGGGAGUUGUUGGAGUGGCUAUGCGAGAGUAUAGCUCCAUCACCGAGUACAGUAUCGAGAGCACCAGAGUAGGCCAUUCCGCCUCCGACUACUCCAGCGUCAGCACCAGCCGCAGCUAUGCCCCCACCAGUGGAGCUUCCUGCAGCGCCAGUCGCGCCUGCUAGGGGGCCGGUGCAGUUGACAGAGGCCGAGCAGGAGCGGUGGACGGAGAGGUUGGCUCGUUUUCGCCGUUUUGAUCCACCGAUUUUCGAUGGCAGUUACACUGAGGCCUGGGUUGUUGAGGGAUGGGUCAGUGCGAUGGAGAAGCUAUUUGAGGAUAUUUUCAUUCCUGAGGGAGAGCAGGUGUCUUUGGGGGUCCAUUGCUUAGCAGGUGAUGCCCACGCCUGGUGGAGGAGAGUGAGGAGAGAGCAGGGACUGGUGGCAUUGCAAUUGAGAGGGGACGAGUUGUGUAGAAUGCUGUUUGGGAUGUUCUUUCCCAAUAGUGUGAAACAGAAGCUCGAAGAGGAUUUGAAGAGGAUUCAGUGGGGAGAUCGUCUAGUGCAGGAGUACAUUCGGGAGUUUACUUGACUCCUGAACUGUGUGCCAUUUAUGGCGAGGGACGAGGCACACAGGGUCUAUUUGUUUGAGCAGGGACUGAGACCCGACAUCUUCAGGUUGGUGCGGACGCAGAGGUCGAGGACCCUGGAUGCGUCCAUUGAGCAGGCUUUGUGGAUAGAGAGAGGUAAGGUGUCACUGCAGGAGAGGACUCAGGCCGUGGGGCAGAGUCAGGAUAGGAAGCGCCCUUUUUCAGAUGAGGCUGGACCGUCGAGCAGCAUGCGUCCUCACGGAGGGGGUGGGGGUGGGGGGCGCGGAAGGUCUAGACCCGGCGCUGGGAAGUGUCAAUCUCCCCCAGGAAGAAGAAGAAGAAGAAGAGAAAGGGAAAAAAUAAAGGUAAAAAGUGAUGCAAAAGUUUCCUAAAUAGGGCAAACUUGGCCUACAGAGUGUAAAAUUUAUUUCAAAAGAGUGUAAUUUCUAUAUCAAAUAGUGUAAUUUUUAUUAAAACAAUGCAUUUUUUUUUUAAAACAGUGUAAUCUUAUUUUAAAAGUGCAAUUUCAUAAUCUUCUUUCUUCUCCUAUAUUUUUUGAUGUUUUCGGUAGGAAAAAAAUAAUUUUUAUUUUUAUUUUCUAUUAUUCUUAUUUUAUUCUAUAAUUUUUUUUUUCACCACCUCUUCCGUCUCUACCUCUGCCUCGGAGAGAGAAAAAAAAAAAGAGAAAAAAAAAGAGAAAAAGUAAUAAGGAUAUUUUGGUCAGCUGAAAAUCCGGUCCGAAUAUGCAAAAUUGAAAAAAGUGGUCCACUUUUGUAAAAUUUCAAAACUAGUAAAUUUUUUAUGCAAAUUGGCCAUAUUUAUUUAUUAUAUAAAAUAUUUUUUAAAAAUAAAAUUUUAAUUUACAUUCAUGUGUAACGUGCGACAAACAAUGAUUCUUUUGGGACACGAACGAGGAGGAAAAGAACGGUUCCCGUGACAAUGACGUGGUGACGCGAACGGUGGAGAGGGGUCCACAUAGGACGAGCAGGUGGGGCCCGCAGGACUAAUUUUAAUAAAAAUAAAUACACCGAUCUCCCACGUGUCGCGUGCAGCAGGUAACCUAUAAUUAUAACUAGUGAAGGCCCGCGCUUCGCGGCUGGACAUUUAUAUAAUUUUUAAAAUAUUUAAAUAAUUUUUUUUAAUUUUUUAAUUUUUAAAUUUAAUUUUAAAAUUUAAACUUCAAAAAUGAAGAGAGUAAAAUUUUAAAAAAUAUUUAAAUAGAGAGAAAUAAAAAAAAUUAAAAACUAAAACACCCAAUUAAAAUUAAAAUAAGCGCUGUAUGCUAACUAUUAAAUUUAAAAUCUAAAUAUAAAAAUAUAAAAAUGUUAAAUUAAAUUUUAAAAUCUCCUCUCUCCCUCUCUAUGCGUUCGCCCACACACCUAUUGGAAUCUCUCAUCACCCUCGUUACUCCUCUAGCACUCCAAAUUUCUCGCGCUCUCUCCCUCGCCAUCAGUUAUGCCGUCGUGCAGGGUGAGGACCGCAGCUCCCCCUCCCCUCCCUCUCUCUCCCCCUCUCUCCCUCAGAUCCUUCCCCACCCCGUCACCAGCCCCGCCCCCGUCCAACCCUUUGCGCCUACCCGAGCACUCCCGUGCCUCCCCUCGGCUCGCACUCCGCCCGUUUCCCCCACCGCUACGGGCCCGAGCCCCGCAGCCACGCUGCAGGAGGACCCGGCGCCGCCGCGCAGCGCGAGCCCGCCACGCCCACUGCCGCCCAGGCGCCCCCAUCGCGCGGCAAGAAGGCAGAAGCAGGGGAGAGGAUGGGGUGAAGCAGGAACAGAGGGAAGAACUGGGGGGCGCGGGGGAAGACAGAAAGAAAGACCGGAGGGAAAGAAAAAGAAAAAAGGGGCCCGCCAACGAACAACCCGGGCGCGGUCGCGUGCAGGCGCGCCGCCGCACACCCCGUGGCGUCCGCUGCACGUGGGGGGGAAAGAGAGCGUAGAGUAGAGAAGAGAGAGAGCAAGAAGAGAAAGAUAGAGAGACCCCGUACGCGAGGCGCGGGUCGGGUACCCCGGCACCCCCGUGUCCCCCCUCUCUCUCUCUAUCUCUCUCUCGCUCUCCCGCGCGACCCUCGCGCGGAAGGAGCGCGGGCGCGGGCCCCUUGGGACCCCUCUUGUCCCCCCUCUCUCUCUCUCCCUCUCUCUCUCUGUCUGCUCUCUCUCUAUCUCUCUCUCUCUCCCUCUCUCUCUGUUCUUUCUCUCUCCCCUCUCUCUCUCUCUCUCUCUCUCUCGCGCGCGAGGCUCCCGCAAAACGCGGGGAGCUCGCCGUACAAACUCUCGAUUAUAUAGUUAUAUAGAUCGGUGGGAUUUGAUUUUGCGGGACCCAUCUCGGGGGUCGCGAUGCGGCGAAUGAAAGGACAAAAGCUUCUGUGUGUGGGCCUGAUUCGUACGGAAUGGUAUAUUGAUGAGGAAAAAUAAUUUGUACUGUCAAUUAAUAGGUGAUGUAUAAGUUACAUUCCACCCAUUUAAUAGGUGAGAUAUUUUUACUAAUUAUUUUAGUUACUUAGGAUGUGUUUGGUUCGAAGUCAGAAUCUGUAUCGGAAUCAAAACAAGAAUAAAUUGAAAAUGAAAUCGGAAUGAUCCAUUACCUUAUUUUGUUUGGUUCGCCACCUGAAUCGAAAUCGAAAUGAAAAUUAUUUUCAUUGUUGUUAUUUGGUCAGAUAAAUAUCAGAAACGUAAUCAAAUUAUUAUAUAUCGAUUUUAUCUUUAUAAUAUAUUUAUUUAAAUUUAAACUAAAAAUUAAAUAUGAAAAAUUUAUAUCAAAAUUUUAAAUUGAUGUCAAAAUUUUAAAUAUAUUGUUUAAAAAAAUUAAAAUUUGAAAUUGAACGGAUAAUUCAAAUAUAAAAUUAAAUUUUGAUAUAUUCUAAUUCAAACUUAAAAUUAUAAUUUAAAUUUCAAUUUGAAUCCAUAAAUUUAAUUCAAAUUUUAAAUAAAAUUAAAAUAAAAUUUUAGAUUUUAACUUAAAUUUAAAUUUAAAUUCAAAUUUAUAAAUUAGAUUCGAAAUGCUUGAUUGAAUUUUAAUUUUUGAUUUAAGUUCAAAUUAAAAUUUAAACUUAUAAAUAUAAUUUUUAAACUUAAACUUAUGUUUUAAUCAAAAAAUAAGUUUUAAAAAAAUUAAAUUUAAUCCGAAUAAAUCCAUUUCAUCUAGAUUCAAGAAAAACAGGCAAUUGGAGGAUUUCUAUUCACCCGAGAAUCAGAAUCGGAAUGAAAAUUCCACAUACCAAAUACGGACAAACGAAUUUGUCCACUCCAAUUUCGAUUCCUGGUGAAAAGGGGGCGAACUAAGCCUGCCCUUAAUGUGACUAGUAAUUCACUCCCAUUCGUUGAAUGGAUGGGAUGUAGGGGUGGAAACGAGCCGAGCUCGAGCGAGCUUACCUCGGUUCAAAUUCGACUUGAAAUUAAUUUCGAGCCUAAAUUUAAGUUCAAGUUUGGAUUGAAAUUAAUUUGAGCCGAGCUCGAGCGAGCCUAAUUUUCAGUCGAGCGAGCUCGAGCCCUAAACNCCCCACUUCACAUGGAAGUUACGCCCCACUUCUCAACCGUUCCCGCCUAAACGCUCUUGACCUUCAGGCGCCUUAUUGUCGACUCCUGAUGUACCACGUGUCCUUAUUUUUUUAGCUUAUACGUGGGUUAAGUCGGCGUGUGAAUUUUAAUUUUGGCAUCAACACCAAGUAUAUAAAGUUUCUAUAAAUAGAAUGUUACUUGAGGAAUGAUGAAACUAUAGGGGUGGAAACGAGCCGAGCUCGAGCGAGCUUACCUCGGCUCAAAUUCGGCUUGAAAUUAAUUUCGAGCCUAAAUUUAAGCUCAAGCUUGGAUUGAAAUUAAUUCGAGCCGAACUCGAGCAAGCCUAAUUUCGAGUUGAGCGAGCUCGAGCCCUAAACGAGCCACUUGAAAUUCUCAACAUCAUACAAUCAAUAGUUUAAUUUGUAUAGAACAUUAUCUAUAAUUUGAUACAAAAAUAUGUGUAAUAGUUCAAAAUAUAAAAUAAUUAUAUGAAAUAUAAUAUUAUAAUACGAAAAAAAAAUUUAUGAGUUGAAUAUCUAAUCUUUUCAGCCUCACAUGUCUUUUCUUCCGCCUUCAAUCUCCAUAUUAUUCAUUUUUAUUUAUGCACUCAAAAAUAAAUAUAUUACAUAGAUGAAUAUUAGAUUAAACCAUCCAAUCAUAUAUAACUAAAAUUAAAAUUUUAUAUGAAUAAUAAUUUUUUACUUUAAAAAUAUUCUGUAUAUUUUCUCGAGCAUAUAAUUAAUAGCAAGGUAGGCAACGACGAGCAUAUACUAUUACUCGGUAACUUGGAGGGCUUCUGGCUUGGUCACUUAGGGUGAGAGACAGAAAAAGAGAAAGAGAGAAACAUAUUGAAAAUUUAGAGCUCUGUGAAAGAAAGAAAGAAAGGAAAAAUAUAUAAAUUUAGUAAAAUUUUGCUCUUUUAUUUAUCUAUUGGGUUUGUUUUUAUGUGCCAACAACAUUGGCCCAAUUUUAANNNNNNNNNNNNNNNNNNNNNNNNNNNNNNNNNNNNNNNNNNNNNNNNNNNNNNNNNNNNNNNNNNNNNNNNNNNNNNNNNNNNNNNNNNNNNNNNNNNNNNNNNNNNNNNNNNNNNNNNNNNNNNNNNNNNNNNNNNNNNNNNNNNNNNNNNNNNNNNNNNNNNNNNNNNNNNNNNNNNNNNNNNNNNNNNNNNNNNNNNNNNNNNNNNNNNNNNNNNNNNNNNNNNNNNNNNNNNNNNNNNNNNNNNNNNNNNNNNNNNNNNNNNNNNNNNNNNNNNNNNNNNNNNNNNNNNNNNNNNNNNNNNNNNNNNNNNNNNNNNNNNNNNNNNNNNNNNNNNNNNNNNNNNNNNNNNNNNNNNNNNNNNNNNNNNNNNNNNNNNNNNNNNNNNNNNNNNNNNNNNNNNNNNNNNNNNNNNNNNNNNNNNNNNNNNNNNNNNNNNNNNNNNNNNNNNNNNNNNNNNNNNNNNNNNNNNNNNNNNNNNNNNNNNNNNNNNNNNNNNNNNNNNNNNNNNNNNNNNNNNNNNNNNNNNNNNNNNNNNNNNNNNNNNNNNNNNNNNNNNNNNNNNNNNNNNNNNNNNNNNNNNNNNNNNNNNNNNNNNNNNNNNNNNNNNNNNNNNNNNNNNNNNNNNNNNNNNNNNNNNNNNNNNNNNNNNNNNNNNNNNNNNNNNNNNNNNNNNNNNNNNNNNNNNNNNNNNNNNNNNNNNNNNNNNNNNNNNNNNNNNNNNNNNNNNNNNNNNNNNNNNNNNNNNNNNNNNNNNNNNNNNNNNNNNNNNNNNNNNNNNNNNNNNNNNNNNNNNNNNNNNNNNNNNNNNNNNNNNNNNNNNNNNNNNNNNNNNNNNNNNNNNNNNNNNNNNNNNNNNNNNNNNNNNNNNNNNNNNNNNNNNNNNNNNNNNNNNNNNNNNNNNNNNNNNNNNNNNNNNNNNNNNNNNNNNNNNNNNNNNNNNNNNNNNNNNNNNNNNNNNNNNNNNNNNNNNNNNNNNNNNNNNNNNNNNNNNNNNNNNNNNNNNNNNNNNNNNNNNNNNNNNNNNNNNNNNNNNNNNNNNNNNNNNNNNNNNNNNNNNNNNNNNNNNNNNNNNNNNNNNNNNNNNNNNNNNNNNNNNNNNNNNNNNNNNNNNNNNNNNNNNNNNNNNNNNNNNNNNNNNNNNNNNNNNNNNNNNNNNNNNNNNNNNNNNNNNNNNNNNNNNNNNNNNNNNNNNNNNNNNNNNNNNNNNNNNNNNNNNNNNNNNNNNNNNNNNNNNNNNNNNNNNNNNNNNNNNNNNNNNNNNNNNNNNNNNNNNNNNNNNNNNNNNNNNNNNNNNNNNNNNNNNNNNNNNNNNNNNNNNNNNNNNNNNNNNNNNNNNNNNNNNNNNNNNNNNNNNNNNNNNNNNNNNNNNNNNNNNNNNNNNNNNNNNNNNNNNNNNNNNNNNNNNNNNNNNNNNNNNNNNNNNNNNNNNNNNNNNNNNNNNNNNNNNNNNNNNNNNNNNNNNNNNNNNNNNNNNNNNNNNNNNNNNNNNNNNNNNNNNNNNNNNNNAUAGCAUAGUAGCCUCACUCUAUAUAUAUAUAUAUAUAUAUAUAUAUAUAUAUAUAUAUAUAUAUAUAUAUAUAUAUAUAUAUAUAUAUAUAUAUUUUCGAGCUUUUCGAGCUUUCAAGCCUAGUUCGAACGAGCCGAGUAAUACUCAAGCUCGGCUUGAAAUGAAUUUCGAGCCUUUUUAUUUGUUCAAGCUUGGCUCAUUUAAUUUCGAGUCGAGCUCGAGUGAGCCAAAUAUCUAGUCGAACGCGAGUCGACCGCGAGCCGGCUCGCUCAUUUGCCAGCCCUAAUGGGAUGUAUGAUAUACACUCUUAUUGGUAGGAGUGGAAACAAGCCGAGCUCGAGCGAGCUUACCUCAGCUCAAGCUUGGCUUGAAAUUAAUUUCGAGCCUAAAUUUAGGUUCAAGCUCGGUUUGAAAUUAAUUCGAGCCGAGCUCGAGCAAGCCUAAUUUCGAGUCGAGCGAGCUCGAGCUCUAAACGAGCUGCUUGAAAUUCUUAACAUCGUGCAAUCUAUAGUUUAAUUUUUAUAAAACAUAUCUAAAAUUUGAUACAAAAAAUGUCAAAUAGCUCAACAUACAAAAUGAAUGCGUGAAAUACGAUAUUAUAAUAUUAAAAAAAUUAAGAAAAGUGACUCUAUCAGUGAGUGAAAAAGAGAGAGAGAGCAAUUAGAGUUGGAUUUUGCUGGUUUGGUUUUGUGGGCCCAAUAAUCUAAAUUUUAUAAACAUAUAAUUAAAAUACAUAAUAUAUAUUAUUUUUUAUAUUUUAUAAUUAUAUAUAUAGAGAGUUCGGCUACUAUACUUGUGAGAACCCUGGUGUUCUGUUGUGGCGGCUUGUCGGCAGCUCUGGAGAGUGUCGGGACAAGUCCGAGUCGCAUUGGCGUCAAAUAGACGCAAGACGGACUCCGUGCGACGCGAGGGCAGCUUAUAGCGAAGAAUUUUGCAAAACAGCAGAAUUCUCUGCUUGCUGUACCGGUACAACCAGCGUGGCUGUACCGGUACAACCAACGCGCACUGGUUCAGCUGCUCUCGGGUUGGCCCUUGUACCGGUACAGGAGCCCGUGUACCGGUACAAGGGGGUAGGUAGAAGGCUAUUUAGGUAAUUCCCUCUCUCGUUUGUAUCACCAACACACCCUCUCUCUAUAUAGCUUCGUGUAGAGAGAGAGAAGUCCUCUUGCUGCAUUUCUUCAUCUCUCUCUCACCCUCAUCCGGUUGAAGGCAAGGAAGAAGCUCGGAUUCGUCGCUGACGUCGCGCCGCGGAGCCGUUUGGGGAUAUGAUUGUUGCCGGAGCAGUGCGCGGAGGCCGGGCGAGUGUGCGACUUCGCUGUUCUUGACGUCACGUCGGUGCUAGUCGUUGUCGAGGUGAAUGUUCCGUCGAAUUGCUUUGUUAUUUCUCCAAGCAUCAUUAAUUCGAGCUUAAGUGUUGUUUGCUGAAAUUCAUCGUCGACUGUUAGUAUUUCACCUCGUACUCGACGUAGGAGCAUCGGUUUGCGACGAGACUUGAUUCGUUGGAUUCGAGACUGCGAGAGGAAUCCACGAAGCCCUUACUUGUGGAUUUUGGUGAAGGUUAGCUUGGUCGAAACCCUUCUCUUCUCUGCUGUUGUGUAUUUGGACUUAAUUGUGAAUUUUCGAUGUUGAUAGCUUGGAGAUAGCUUGAUUUCGAGACUCGGACAUUUUCAGUCGAUCCAGCAGGUUGUGCCGCAGUCGAGGGAGUUCCCUACUGCCGGGGAUUAGCUUUGAGGUGGGUUUACAUCGGUUUUACUCCUAAGUUCAUAAUCGUCGACAUGUAUAGAUUUCGAUUUUGGAUGAUCCAUUCUAGCUCGAAUUCAUGGAUUAUAUGGUAGAUUGCAAAUCUGAAUUUGAAGCAUGUGGUAAUAAAUUGAGUAGGUUAUAUAUGUUGAACUUGAAAUUUGAAUUAGGAGAAAACCUGCGAUUUGGACCUGUCACUUGUUUAAACUGUCUGAUUUAGCUCUAAGAACAGUUAUAAAAUUGUACUGUCGCAGUAUCCUCGAGACGAGUACUCCAGGUAGUUUAGGAUACAUUUACGAUCGUGCUGAUAUGCCGAGUGGAUUUUUACAGGGUCGUUUGGGCUCUUUCGGACUUUUGGGCGCCGUUGGGGUUGACGGUGGACCCGGUUCGCCGUUUUGGCGUCAGAUUGUGCCGAGGGCAUGUUACUUGUUGGUUGUUAGACCAGUUAGAGUCGAUUACUUGGACUUUGGCUUGACAGAGCCUAAUUGAGCUCGACAGAGAUACGCUGCAUACUCGAUUGAGUAGCGCCCACGAGUGCCACUCCGGAGACGGGCUUUGUACUUUCGCGUUGGUGUCGCUCAUGCCGGUUGAACUUGUUCUCCACCGACCAGUUAGUGUGGAGGUAGCUGGAUAGUCGCAACUGGGCAGAGACGGGUGUAUUCACAGUCCCCGGGACGAGUAUCUUUACAGUCCCGAUUGGAUUGGGUCAGUUUUGACAUUUCCUACAGUUGGUUAUCAUAGAGCAGGAUGGUGUACGGACUAGCAGCUGUAGAAUUCAUUCCAGCAUUUUACUUUUACUAUUGCUCCCUUUUGUAGACUUAGUGGGUGGACGGAUGUUGUUUUGGGCGGCACCCACUGAGGACUACUUGUUUUUAUAGUAGUUCUCACGCCCAGCUGUUACCCCUGUUUUGUAGAGCCACAGGUUUCGGCUGCUGCGCCUUCCGCGGAUCACGAUCGAGGCAAGGGCAUCGCGAGUUAGAGCCCUACCCAUCGAGCAGAGCUAGAGGCACCCUACUGCAGGUAGUUGUUUUAUUUCGAGCUUAUGUACAUAGUACUUAACUCGCCAGUGCGAGUAACUCUGUAUUUCGAUUUUUGAACUAUGUAUAUGAAGCUCAGUUUGUUUAGCUUUUGUUUACUCGAGCAGCUCUAUACUACUGUUUGUACUAUUGUAUGUUUACAGGUAUAGCUGUCGCUUCGUAUACAGGGAAAAUUUCUUUGUAUACGACGGAUUUGUUGGCGUGCCCGGGGAACGAGACAUCCGGGGCGUGACAAUACUCCUAUUUGUAUAGAUUUCUUUAUACUCAUAAGUUUUCGAUUGUUAGAUCUAUGCUUUUGACCAUUUUCAUCAGUAAAUCAUACUAUUCAACCAAUCACCCACUCAAUCCUAGAGGACCACUAUUAUCCUAAUUGCACAUCCAACGGCAAAAAAUUUAUUAGUAUAAAGGAGUCUAUACUCAUAAGAGUAUAGUACACCUAGCCUAUAUAUAUAUAUAUAGAAUUAGGUUACUAUAUUAUUAAUAGUACCAACCGCUAGCUAUUAGGUUUUCAGCCCUUAGAUGAAAGGAUGUGUUGUCAGGAUGAUAGUAGCCCCCUAGGGUUGAGGAGGUGGAUAGUUGAAGAGUAUGAUCUAACGGAUGAAAAUGACAAAAGGGGUAGAUCUAAUGGCAGAAAACUCGAUAGCACCAAAUGCUUGGUACUAUUAAUAGUAUAGUAGCCAGAUUCUAUAUAUAUAGGUAGAUCUAACGGUAGAAAACUCGAUAGCACAAAACGAUUGGAACGAUAGAUAGUAUAAUAGCCGGACUAGAAAUAUAUAUAUAUAUAUAUAUAUAUAUAUAUAUAUAUAUAUAUAUAUAUAUAUAUAUAGAGAGAGAGAGAGAGAGAGAGAGAGAGAGAGAGAGAGAGAGAGAGAGUCCGGCUACUAUAUUUUUGAUAGUACCAAGUACUUAGUGUUGUCGAAUUUUGUGCCGUUAGAUCUACCCCUUUGACUAGUUUCACCCGAUAGAUCAUACUAUUCAACUAACCACCCAUUCAACUCAAUGAAAUCACUAUCAUUCUAACCGCAUAUCCCUUCAUUCAAGGGCCGAAAACUUUAUUAUAAUUAAGUGGUUGGUACUAUUAAUAGUAUAGUAUUUAUUUAUUUAUUUUUUAUUUUUUUUGAGAGAUAGGUAGCAUGCUACUCGCUUCGUUUAUUUUAUUUAGAAAUAAACUUAGCUGAAAAUGUGAAUCAACUAGGAUUCGAACUUGGGUGUCAGGUACCAACUACCAAGCCCAUUGCCACUUGCUCUAGGGACGGUCGGUACUAUUAAUAGUAUAGUAGACUAAUUCUAUAUAUAUAUACAUAUAUAUUUCGAGCUUUUCGAGCCUAAUUCGAGCGAGCCCGGUAAUACUUAAGCUUGGCUUGAAAUUAAUUUCGAGUCUAAAUUUAGGCUCAAGCUCGACUUGAAAUUAAUUCGAGCCGAGCUCGAGCGAGCCGAAUAUUGAGCUGAACGCAAGUCAAAACGAGCCGGCUCACUUGUUUGCCAGCCCUACUUAUUGGGGUGUAUACAUAGCAUUGCUUGAUUGAUAAUGAGGCCUUUUUUUUUUUUUAUUUAGCUCUUUAAAUUUUAUUUUUAACAAAUGAUGCUAAUAUAUUUAUAUUUGUAUAAAUAAUUCUUUUCUUGUCACGCGAGGGCCUAAGUGGUAUUUUUAAGUUGAACAUGUUGAUUUAAUUAUCGUGUUUAAACACGGUGAUGAGAUCAAUGUGUUUCUUCUUAUAUUUGUUAUCGUUCCUAAGUUACAUAAAGGGACUAUAGUGUGAAUAUGAAUACGGUGAUCCAAUUAUCAUGUUUAACUUAAAAAUGCCUACAUGACGCUUGCGUGGCAAGAAAAGGACCAUAUAUAUAAAUAUAAAUUUGUUAAAAUUAUUUGUCAGAAAGAGCCAUUGAUAAUGACGAGGCCGGCGAAGAAUUCAAUUGAUCCUAAGGGUUCUUUGGUUCAACAUAAAAUUAUGAAAAUUAAUUUUUCAUAGGAAAAAUUUUUGGUAGAAAAUAUUUUUAUGUUUUGUAGUGUAUAGUUCAUAGAAAAGUAAAUUUUUAUUAAUAUUUAUUUAAUUGAAAGAAAACAAUUAAUAUUUAUUUUAUUUGGUGAAAAAAAUGAAUGAAAAAAAUUUUACGCAGCUUGAAUUUUCGUUAUCGUAAAAAAAACAGCAAAAAAUGAAAAUUUAGAAAAAAUAUUUUUUUCGUUGAAUCAAACAAGUAGAAAUUAAAAUAUUUUUCAUUCCGAAAAUAAUUUUUCUGUUCGUUUACGCUGAACCAAACCGCUCCCUAAAUAAAAUUCAAAUCCGAAUAACUAAUUUUAUAUUAUAUAAAAUCUAAAAAUUUUAAUAAUUUAUAUAUAUAUUUUAAAAGUUUAUAAUUGUUUUUAUUUUGAAAAUGUAGAUUUGCGCAUUACUUUGAAAUUUAGUAGAGAGAAAAGUUGAUGAGUAUUUUGUAUGUAUUUGACGAAUAUCAACAUCCAUACAGUAAACUUGAGCUUCAUUUGAUCACAAUUACUAUUUUCUAAAAAAAAAAAAGAAGAAACUUUACUUCCCCAAAUUUCAUGUACAAAUUAUCUAUAACUAUUACCUAUAUAUAUUAUCCUUUCUAAAUUUGUCAUAUUCUAACGUUUCCCGUUUCCUUCAUUAUGGGUACGGGUACUCCAUCCUGAACCGGUUCAUGUCCUCCACUUAUUUUUCUCUUUUUUUGUUUAAAUGAAAUCAAUUAUUAUUGAGUGUGGGCUUUCUCAAACCGGUUCAAUUUCUCUAUAUAUUUUUUUUCUUUUUUUACUCGAACCAAAACGGAUUUUUUUUUUUUUACUUGAACCGAACCGGUCACACCUCUACAUUGGGCUGAACUGUUCCUCUUCCACUUUCUUUUUCUGUUACCUUCCUUCAUAAGCAAAAUGCAUCUCACCCUUUAUCAUCGCGUCUUUCAUCAUUGUUUUCUCUAAUUAUCUAUUGGUCGCAUCAUAUGAAUUAUUAUGCUAGCUAAUAUUAACGAGAGAUUGCUCAGUAGCCGAAGACGUGUGAUGUUUGAUAACCAUUUCUAUAAACUAAACGCCAAAAUUAUCUUAAGAUAGAGAUGGAUAUAUUGGGGUGAUUUUAAAAGGAAAGAAAAAAAAAAUAGCACCAGAGUUAUCAAAAUAUUGGCGGCUACUCGUGUUUAAUUAGGAAGUAAUCAAACCCUAAUCACUCAUUCAUGCAGUUGAGCAUGAAUGGACAAUAUACCAAGAAGAAUAAACACCAAUCGCUCUCUCGUAAUUUGUCUCCUUCCUCCUCUCGCUCUAUCUUUGUCACUCCUACCUACUGUCUUAAAUGGACAAUUUUCAAACUUUUUUUAUUUACUCCGCGCUUAGAAGGUUUAUAUAAAAAAGGCAAUUGCUUAUACACUUCUGAAAAUUUUUCAAUUUUCUAAUUUAUACUUCUCUUAAAAGGCUAAUAUUAAAAUAACAUUUUUACACUUUAAGUUAGUUCAAAUAUAUUUCUAGAGUUAAAUUACCAAUCGUUGUUAUCUCUGCAAAAUUACUAUUUUGUCCUUUCAAACAUACUCUUCUACCAUCACUAGUUUUUUUUUAUUUGUCCUUAAAUUAGGGCAAAAGAAGUAUUUUGAUUUUUGAUCUUUUCAAAUAUACCUUUCUACCAUCACCAACUUUUUUUAUUUGCCCUAAAGUUAAGGAUAAAAGAAGUUUUUUUUUUUUUUUUUCUUUUUCUUUUUUUACCUUUGCUAGACAUUUAACUCACGUUUAACGCAAUAUAACUUGACGGCUAGCAACUGCGGUGGUAUUUUUGAAUAACGGAGGAACAUAAUAGGGAUAUAUUGGAAAUAAAAAAAAAAGAAAGGAUAAAUUAGAUAUUUUCGAAAUUUAGAAGGAUAUAUGGGCAAUUAUUCCUAUAUAAAAAUACUUUUUUAAUGUUCUAAGUUCUUUCUAAUAUAUCCGAGGAGUUAAAUUCUAUUAGUGAAACUCGUUAUCUCUGUGAAAUUACUAUUUCAUCCCUUCAAAUAUACCUUUCCACCGCAUAAACUUUUCUUAUUUACUCUUAAAUUAGAGGCAAAAGAAUUAGGUUAAAUUACAGAAAUCCCCCGUCAAAAUCCGAUUUUUCACUUUUUUCCUCUGUCAUUUAAAAACCUAUACUUUGCUAUUUUAUAAAAUGAAAAAUGUUCACCUCACCCCUUACCGUUAGUGAUCCGUUAAGGUUCCAUUAUAAAAUAUUUUUUAUGCCAAAAAUAUCCUCCGCCCUCUCUAUUAUUGCUGCGCCCUCGCCUACAUCUCCGUCCGCGCCCAUAAACACCCCCUCGCCCUCCUCCGCCGCCUUGCGUUCAUCCUCGUUGCCCUUGCCCACCUUUCCAUUCAUGCCCACCUCGAUUUCCUCCCUACUGUCGCCGAAAUGGAGGGGCGACGAGGGUGCAGGAGGACAAGGGGAGUAUGAAGAAAAUAGAGAGAAAUCGCGGCUGAUCGAGGCGCUAACCGUGGCCGAUCAAGGUGACGGAUGAGCAAGAUAAGAGCGGAGACGAAAAUGGUGAGAGGCAAAAUUAUCAUUUUGUCAUCAUAGUUCACACCGUACCCCCUGUGAAUAUUUUUUAUUUUGUAAGGGGGUAAAGUGUAGGGUUUUAAAUAACAUGAAGAGAAAGUGAAAAAUCGAAUUUUGACAGGGAGGUUUUAUGUAGUUAAGCCAAAAAAUUAUUUUGACUUUUUGCCAUUUCAAAUAUACCUUUUUUUAGAGUUAGUAUUUUUUUUUUUUUUUUUUUUGCUCGUAGGUUAGGGAGAAAAGAAGUAUUUUGAUUUUUUUUAAAUUUUGGUAGAAAUUUAAGUCAGGUUUAAUCCGAGAUAACUUAUCAGGUACUAACAGCAAAAUUAUUUUUGAAUAAUAACAAAAUCUAUAAGGGAUAUUUAAUAUAAAAAAGUAAAAAUAUAUAAAAUAUUUCAGAAGUUUUAAAAGGUAUAUAAGUAGUUAUUCCAAAUUCGAAUGGUGUCUGAGAAAGUUCUUGGACACCAUUAAGCGAGAUGAAACUCAGAGCAGCUGGAUUAUAUUAGCAGAGCUAAUUAAUUUCGAUAUUGAUAGAUAAAUUUAUUAAAUUUGAUAAUUACUUAGUAACUCAAUUUGAUCAGAUUUUAUAAAUAUAUUUUGCUGCGAUGGAAAAGAAAUAUGUUAGCAUUUCUUUCUUUUACAUAUUAAUGUUGUACUGAUUCACCGCCUCAUUAAUUGAGAUUUUAUUAAAAAAGUUAAAAAUAAAGAAAAUUUAUUUGAACUAUGAAUCAUUUUGAAUCAGCUAUUUAAUUUUUUUAAAUUUUUAUUUUACUAUUUAAUCUUUCAAUUUGUUUGAUUUUGAUCCAGUAAACAAUAUUUUUCAUUUCAAAAUUUAAACUAAUUAUUUAUUUUAAUAAAUUUAUAAUUGCUUAUAGAAUAGCAUAAAGUAUGUAAUUAAAUCUGUAAAAAAAUAAACAGUGUUUAACUUUUGAAGUCAAAUACCAUUGGCGGAUUGAAAUCAAACAAAUUGAAAAGUUGAGCACUAAAAUCAAAAUUAGUCGAUUCCGGUUCAGAUAAAUUCGGUACGUUUUUAUCAAAAAAAAAAAAAAAAUCAAAACAGUUUAGCUACUUAUUUGAUCCGAUAUAUAUGACAACUAUUAUAUUACAAAAUUUGGCCGCACCAUUCAUUUUAAUUGGGGCUGUAGUCACGUGAAUGAUGUUAGAUAUAUUACAAUUAAAUUUAUUAAAAUAGAUAAUAAAUUUAAAUUUUCUAAUAAAAAUGUUAUUAAAUGACUUAAAUUAAAUAAGUUGAAAUAUUAGAUAGCAAGAUUAGAAUUUUUAAAAUUAAUUUGAUUUCACAAAGUAAAUAAUAUAUAUAAUAAUAUAACUUUAAAAAAUUUUAUUUUUUUUUAGAGAGAAUGGUAGCAUGAUAUCCGCUUCAUUACUUUUAAAAAAAAAUUAUUUUAAAAUAUACAGUAACCUGAUAUCGAAGUAGGACCUUUCAUACGAACUAGUUGGAUACGGGAGAACUCUAUAAUUUCACUAAAAUUUAAUACUAGAUAUAGAUUUUUUUUUUUGAGAGAUAGGUAGCACGCUACCCGCUUCGUUUAUUUCAUUUAGAAAUAAAUUUAGCUGGAGAUAUGAAUCAAAUAUGAUUCGAAUCUGGGUCUCGGGUACCAAUCACCAAGCCUUUUGCCACUUGCUCCAGGGACGGUCGGUAUAUUGAUAUAGAUAUUGAUAUUGAUAUGUUUAGGGGAUUAUCAUGGCUAGCACGUGGUAGAUAAUGUCACGCCCCGGAUUACACGUUCCCCGGGCACGCCGAUAAAUCCGCCGUAUACAAAGAAAUUUUUCCUGUAUACGAAGCGACAGCUGUACCUGUAAGUCAAACACUACUACGAACAGUAGUAGAGAGCUGUUAGAGAAAACAGAAGCUAAACAAACAGAGUUUCAUAUACAUAGUUCAAAUCCAAAAUACAGAGCUACUCGCACUGGCGAGUUAAGUCAACUAUGUACAUAAACUCGAAACAAAACAUCUACCUGCAGUAGGGGCACCUCUAGCUCAGCACGUCGGGUAGGGCUCUAACUCGCGACGCCCUUGCCUCGAUCCUGGUCCAUGUCACUUUAUUCAGCUGCCGCGUGAUCCACAAUAACCUGAUGCGAACCAUCAUUGUCUUCUUUUACAAAUAACACUGGCACUCCCAGCGAGCACACUGGGCCUCACCGAACCCUCUAUCCAUCAAAUCCUGGAAGCUGUGCCAUUUAGCUCUCUUCAGCUUCUGAUACCGGCGCAUCCGAUAGGUAACUUUGCGAUUGGUCAGUUCCAGGAACUACAUACAAUCACAAACUCAAUCUCCUCUCCGGCAGGGCACGUCUCAAACUCAGGCGGGAAACACAUUUCGGAAACUCCGCGGACGACAGGAAAUUUAAUUCUCGAGUCCGGCGUCGACGCUGUAGGUACCUCACAGACUGGUCGCCUAAGAAAGCAAUUACACCCGUAGCUCCGCAUCUGUCGCGAGCCUCGCGAAGAUAUCAGGUGGCAAACAGCGUGCCUGCAGCCUUCGUGAAAGUAAACUCCUCCUGGCCGUGGCUGCGCGGAACGUCACCGUCCUCGCUCCACGUCGAUUAGUGCCUUGUACCGCGCCGCCAAUCAUACCGAGCCACAACGUCAAAGUCUGCAGCUGCCUAAGCACCAAACAGGAUCUCGGGCUUAUUGAUCCGACGACAUCCAACUGCACCGGACAUGGACGCAAUCAACACUCUGCAACCUGUAAAACAUGGUUCGGAAUCUGCACUCUCGGUGCCUUGUGACAAUGCCCCUAACUCUAGACAUGAACAAUGCAAAUGCUCUGUUAACAAAAGAAUGCCGAGGCUCCAUUAUCAAAAAAAAAGGUACGAGUACGAAUGCAGGAAUCNNNNNNNNNNNNNNNNNNNNNNNNNAAAGUGAUACUUGCCACCACUCGGUCGGCUGCUGUAGAGUCCUCCACCUGAGCUGCAUAGACUCUGCCACUCGGAGCCUGCUGUCGCCGCUCAUCCUGUCGCGGCGUGGACGACCUAUCCUUCUGGCGGUAACUUGGUGCUGCUCUUUAAGUCUGCUGGGGUGCUGGUGGAGCCGAAGCUGAUGAUGGUGCUGGAGAUGCUGCUCGGGGACAAGCUGCCCUCAUGUGUCCCGGCUGACCACAUCCGUAGCACCGGCCCUCCCUCUGCUCACACUGUCUGGGCCAGUGUGGUCCUCCGCAGAUCACACACUGCGGCGUCCUCUCUGGCUGUCCCCUCUGACGAGAAUCCCUAGAUCGCUGACGCCCCGAGAACCCACGACCCUGGGAACGCGAUCGUGGAGGCCUCGGUGGACGCUCUGCUACUCGACUGACCUCCGUCGUCUGGAGCUGGGCGCUUCCUGUCCUGACUCUGUCCCGGCCCCUGAGCCCUCUCCCGCAGCGACACCUCUCCUCUCUUCUCCCAUAAUGCCUGCUUAAUGGACGCAUCCAAAGUCCUCGACCUCUGCGCCCUAACAAACCUGAAAAGGUCGGGUCUCAAACCCUGCUCAAACAAGUAGACCCUAUGUGCCUCGUCUCUGGCCACGAACGGAACACAGUUCAGGAGCCUAGUAAACUCCCGAACAUAGUCCUGAACUGUCCGCUCACCCUGCUUUAUCCUCUUCAAGUCCUCCUCGAUCUUCUGUUUCAUGCUGUUGGGGAAAUACAUCCCAUACAGCAUUCUACAGAACUCAUCCGAACUCAGCUGCGUCGCCACCAGUCCCUGGUCUCGCCUCGCUCUCCGCCACCAAUCAUGUGCAUCACCCGACAGACAGUGUACUCCCAAAGGUACCUGCUCUCACUCUGGAACGAACAGAUCCUCGAAUAACUUCUCCAUCGCACUGACCCAUUCCUCAACAAUCCAGGCCUCAGUGCCUCUGCCAUCGAAGAUCGGUGGGUCAAAUCGACGAAAACGAGCUAAUCUCUCCUUCCACCGCUUCUGCUCGACCUCAGUCAACGGUACUGGCCCCCUAGCCGGCGCAACUGGCACUACUGGAACUGCUGCGACGGAGGAACUGCUGCAGCUGGUACGGUCACUGGAGUAGUCAGUGGUAGAACAGUUUGCUCUGGUACACUCGGUGCUGAACUCGGUGGCUGAGAUAUUCUCUCACACAACCUCUGCAACAACUUCCCCUGCUGCCUCGUCACCUCAGUCAGGGCAGCCAGCUGUGCACUCAGAUCCGAGGGUGCGCUAGCCUCAGGUCGCGCACUCGGCUCCACAACAGGGGGUGCACUCGCCUCCGGUCUGUCACCCUGCUCCUGUCGAGUACUCUGCUCCAUCUGCUCAAGUCUCUCAGGGGAUCCCGCACGAUCCCGCGCCAACUGGGCACGCUCUCGCAACGACGGUCGACCUCGGCGACGAUACAUAGCUGAAAGGAACAAAUCGGGGUCAGAUACAACACAACACUCUCGACCCAAUCAACGAAAGUCUGGAAGGCGGUCCCUGUUUUCUUCCAAAAUUAUGUCGUCUGCAGCCAACAUAAUUUCUCAGGCCAAAACAGGAACUCCUUCGGUCACUCGCCCACUCUAGGAGGAGUUAGAACAGCUAAUCAUUGACUUUCACAAUAAAUUACGCCUCUCGCGUCUUGCCUUCCUAAGGUUUGCCAGACUUAGGUUUCCUAGGUCCCAACGACCUAUAGCAAAGCUCUGAUACCAACUUAAUCUGUCACGCCCCGGAUUACACGUUCUUCGGGCACGCCGACAAAUCCGCCGUAUACAAAGAAAUUUUCCCUGUAUACGAAGCGAUAGCUGUACCUGUAAAUCAAACACUACUACGAACAGUAGUAGAGAGCUGCUAGAGAAAACAGAAGCUAAACAAACUGAGUUUCAUAUACAUAGUCCAAAUCCAAAAUACAAAGCUACUCGCACUGGCGAGUUAAGUCCACUAUGUACAUAAACUCGAAACAAAACAUCUACCUGCAGUAGGGGCACCUCUAGCUCAGCACGUCGGGUAGGGCUCUAACUCGCGACGCCCUUGCCUCGAUCCUGAUCCGCGGACGGUGCAGCAGCCGGAACCUGUGGCUCUGCAAAAACAUAGGUAACAACUGGGCGUGAGAACUACUGUAAAAACAAGUAGUCCUCAGUGGGUACCGCCCAAAACAACAUCGGUCACCCACUAAGUCUACAGAAGGGAGCAAGGAUAGAAGGAAAGCAGGAAGCAUACUCUACCGCUAUCAACCACUACACUAUCAUGCUCUACACUAACCAACUGUAGGAAAUGUCAAAUCUGACCCAAUCCAAUCGGGACUGUAAGCAUACCCGUCCCCGGGACUGUGAAUACACCCGUCCCUGCCCCGUUGUGACUAUCAGGCUCCAUCCACACUAACUGGUCCGUGGAGAGCAAGUCCAACUGGCAUUAGCGACACCAACGCGAAAGCACAAAGCCUGACUCCGGAGUGGCACUCGUGGGCGCUAUCCAACCGAGUAUGCAGCGUAUCUCUGUCGAGCUCAAACAGGCUCUGAAAAGCCAAAGUCAAGAAAUCGACUCUAACUAGUCUAACAACCAACAAGUAACGUGCCCUCGGCAUAAUCAGACGCCAAAAAGGCGAUACGGGUCCACCGUCAACCUCAACGGCACCCUACAGUCCGGAACAGCCUGAACGACCCUGUAAAAUCUCCUUGGCGAAAACAGCACGAGUGUAGAUAUACUCUAAACUACCUGGAGUACUCGUCUCGAAGAUACCGCGACAGUACAAUUUAAUAACGGCUCCUAGAGCUAAAUCAGGCAGUUUAAUCAAGUGACAGGUCUAAAUCGCAGGUUUUCUCCUAAUUCAAUUUCCAAGUCCAACAUGUAUAACCUAUUCAAUUUAUUACCACAUGCUCCAAAUUCAGAUAUGAAAUCUACCAUUUAAUCCAUAAAUUCGAGCUAGAAUAGAUUAUCCAAAAAUCGAAACUAUACAUGUCGACGAAUGUGAACUUAGGAGUAAAACCGAUGUAACCCACCUCCAAAAAACUAAUCCCUGGCAGCACGAAACCCCCUCGGCUGCGACACCACCUGCUGGGUUGACCAAAAACGCCCGAGUCUCGAAAUCGAGCGAACUCCAAACUAAAAACACCAAAAUUUCUCAAUUCAGUCUAAAAUCCACGACAGCAGAGAAGAGAGGAAUUUCGACCUAGCUAACCUUCACCAAAAUUCGCAAGUAAGGGCUUCGUGGAUUCCUCUCGCAGUCCUGAAUCCAACGAACCAAGUCUCGUCGAAAUCCGAUGCUCCUACGUCGAGAACGAGCUAAAAUACCAACAGUCGACGAUGAAAUUCAGCAAACAACAUCUCUCCGAGUUGAAGUAGUAAGAACUUGCCCAAAAAUCCAAGGAAAGGCUGAAUUACUCACCUCGACAGCGAUUAGCACCGGCGCGACGUCAAGAACGGCGAAGUCGCACGCUCGCCCGGUCUCCUCGCGAUGCCCCGGCGUCAAAUACGUGCUCGAACGAUCCCGCGGCGCGACGUGGGCGACAAAACACCAACUAAGCUCCUUCCUUGCCUUCAACCGGAUGGGAGAGUGAGAGGGGAAGGAGAAGCACAAGUAAACCCUCUCUCUCUCAGCUCACAGCAGCCUUUGUAGAGAGGGAGUUGGUGGGAGAUACAAACGAGGUGGAGAAAUUACCUAAUUACCCUGUCACCUACCCCCUUGUACCGGUACACGGGCUCCUGUACCGGUACAAGAGCCAACCCGAGAGCAGUUGAGCCAUUGCGCGAUGGUUGUACCGGUACAGCUACACUGGUUGUACCGGUACAGCAAGCAGAGAAUGCUGGUGUUUUGCAGAAUUCUUCGCGAUAAGCUGCCCUCGCGUCGCACGGAGUUCGUUUUACGUCUAUUUGACGUCAACGCGACUCGGACUUGUCCCGACACUCUCCAGAGCUGUCGACAAGCCUCCACAGUCAGACACCAGGGAUCUCACAGAUAAGGACAUAAAUCAUAUAAUGCUUUUGUGUAAUUAGUCCAAACGUUGAAUCAAGUCGUGAGUUCUUAGAAUUUAUUUUUGAGCAAUGUUAUCUGUAUAUCAAAAAGUAAAGUGUAUAUUUUACUUUCAUUUUAUUCAAGUGUCAUUAGUUUUUUUCUUGCAUCAACUUUUUUUUUUUUUUUUACUAAAAAUUAUUUAAAUUUUUAUAAUUUUUAAAACUAGGGGUGUAGAACCUACACCUUUUUCUGCAUGUGCAAGUAAAAUUUCUCUUUAUCUUUUUUAGAUGAAUUAGAUAUUACUGCGAGCUGAAUCUUUCAACCGCUGACCCAGUCGAAGUUCUCCCUCGAGAAGUGUGUAAGGAUGCAGAACGGCUACAAACGAUGACAUUCGAAGUUUGCGCCCUUCGACGGAUCAAGUGAUUGGGCUGAUGAGGGAUCAGAUCAGCCGAGUUCGUGUGAGAUCCCUGCGGUUCUGUGGUGGAGGCUUGUCGGCAGCUCUGGAGAGUGCCGGGACAAGUCUGAGUCGCGUUGGCGUCAAAUAGACGCAAAACGGACUCCGUGCGACGCGAGGGCAGCUUACCGCGAGGAAUUCUGCAAAACAACAGAAUUUUCUAUUUGCUGUACCGGUACAACCAGUGUGGCUGUACCGGUACAACCAGCGCGCACUGGUUUAGCUGCUCUCGGGUUGGCUCUUGUACCGGUACAAGAGCCCGUGUACCGGUACAAGGGGGUAGGUAGAGGGGCUUUUUGGUAAUUCCAAGCCUCGUUUGUAUCACACCACUCCACCUACUUCUAUAUACAGGCGUAGAGAGCUUGAGAGGGAGUGUUCUUGCUGGUCCUUCUUCCUCUCUCCCUCUCUAGCUUGGUUCGACCGUGGAGGAGUUCGGUUCGAGCUCGGAUUCGACACCGACGUCGCGCCGCGAAGCCGUUCGGGGAUACGGUUGGGAUCGUAGCGCUGCGAGGAAGCUAGGCGAGGGUGCGUUUUCGCCGUUCUCGACGCCGUGUCGCUGUCCGAUUAGCCUUUGAGGUGAGUGUUCCGUUGCAUUGCUUCAAGUAUUGACAUUUCGAGCUAGGUGCUGUUUGCUGAUUCCCAUCGUCGACCGUUAGUAUUUCAGCUCGUACUUGGCGUAGGAGCAUCGGAUUUCGACGGGAGUUGGUUUGUUGGAUUCGGGACUUCGAGAGGAAUCCACGAAGCCCUUACUUGCUAGUUUUGGUGAAGGUUAGCUUGGUCGAAGCCCUGUUCUUCUCUGCUGCUGUGAAUUUUGGACUGAAUUGAGAAUUGUCGAUUGUAGAGCUUGGAGUUAGCCCGAGCAUUGGACUUGGAGGAUUCCGGUUGAUCCAGCAAGGAUCAUUUUUGGUUCGAGGCUUCGUUUGCUGCCAGGAUCUAGCAUUUUGAGGUGGGUUACAUCGGUUUUGAAUCCUAAGUUCUAAUCGUCAAUAUGUAUAAACUUCAAGUUUUAGUAUAGUCUUUUCUAGCUCGAAUUCAUGGAUUAUAUUAUAGAUUGCAAAUCUGAAUUUGGAGCAUGUGGAAAUAAAUUGAGUAGGUUAUACAUGUUGGACUUGAAAUUUGAACUAGGAGAAAACCUGCGAUUUGGACCUGUCACUUGUUUAAACUGCCUGAUUUAGCUCUAGGAGCCGUCAUAAAAUUUGUACUGUCACGUUGACGGUGGAUCCGUAUCGCCUUUUUGGCGUCAGAUUGUGCCGAGGACACUUUACUUGUUGGUUGUUAGAGCAGGUUGAGUUAGUUACUGGACUUUGGCUUUCGAGAGCCUGAUUGAGCUCGACAGAGAUACGCUGCAUACUCGGUUGGGUAGCGCCCACGAGUGCCACUCCGGAGACGGGCUUUGUGCUUUCGCGUUGGUGUCGCUCAUGCCGGUUGGACUUGCUCUCUACGGACCUGUUAGUGUGGAGGUAGCUGGAUAGUCGCAACUGGGCAGGGACGGGUGUAUUCACAGUCCCAGGGACGGGUAUGUUUACAGUCCCGAUUGGAUUGGGUCAGAGUUGACAUUUCCUACAGUUGGUUAGUGUAGAGCAUGAUAGUGUAGUGAUUGUAGCGGUUGAGUGUACUUCCUACUUUUUCGGCUAUCCUUACUCCCUUCUGUAGACUUAGUGGGUGGACCGAUGUUGUUUUGGGCGGUACCCACUGAGGACUACUUGUUUUUACAGUAGUUCUCACGCCCAGUUGUUACCCCUGUUUUGCAGAGCCACAGGUUUCGGCUGCUGCGCCUUCCGCGGAUCAGGAUCGAGGCAAGGGCGUCGCGAGUUAGAGCCCUACCCGACGUGCUGAGCUAGAGGUGCCCCUACUGCAGGUAGAUGUUUUGUUUUGAGUUUAUGUACAUAGUAGACUUAACUCGCCAGUGCGAGUAGCUCUGUAUUUUGGAUUUGAACUAUAUAUAUGAAACUCAGUUUGUUUAGUUUCUGUUUUCUCUAGCAGCUCUCUACUACUGUUCGUAGUAGUGUUUGAUUUACAGGUAUAGCUGUCGCUUCGUAUACAGAAAAAAUUUCUUAUAUACGGCGGAUUUGUCGGCGUGCCCGGAGAACGAGACAUCCGGGGCGUGACAGUUCGUACCUUUUACUACUAAAUCGGUUUGGCUGUAUGAGCCGAGUCAAGAAUUGCACAGUAUUUUUGGGUCGACUGAAGAGCUGAAUGCUUAUAAAUAUUACUUAAAAGUUGAAAAUUCGUUCAAAAGAGGGUAUGCCAGUGCGGCGUACAGACUCAAGAAAUCUAACUUAAAGACUGCUCUCACGAAAAACAGUAAAUGUUAGGAAGAAAGAAAGGUUAAAAGUAAACUGCUCCUAGAAAAUAAGGAAAAUGCGUAGAAUUGAAGUGGUCUUCUGUUCGCAAGGAAACAAGAUAUCUCUUUCAGGCGUUAUCUGUUUAUUUAUACCCCGCCUGUUCUUAUUCGGUUAUCUACAUGAUCAGCUAUUUCCCUACUUUCGUGGGCCACUACAGGCCGAUCCCAACUCAUGAAACUGUCUGCAGUUUGUUGUGAUUUGUUCUUUGUUUCUGGUGCACCAAACAUCCGAUAUCCUUAGCUUUGCACCAAACACACAAACUGAAAAAUUCAGUUUGCGUUCGGCUCGUUUACUAAAUGAGCGAUUCGAUCUUGAGCUCAUUUCAAGCAAAACAUGAGCCGACUCACAAAUAACCCCUAUGCCCAACACAGCCUACGCAAUAGGAAGGGAAGAAAAGAUAAGGGUGAAAGAGAAACUGUCAUGUGGCAAAUUUUAUGAAAAAUAAUGUAAAGAUAAAGAUAUAGAUAUAGAUGUAGAUAUUGAGCUCUUAUUCUGAUAGCAUGUUAAAUUAUGUGAAACAGCGAUUACUCUUCGGAAAGUUAAACUUUAACGAUAUUUAUAUAUGUUAUAUUUAAUAAUACUGUUAUAUAUGGCCUAGAAUAUUUGAAGCAUCUAAAAAUUAAAUUUUGUUAUUUUUUAACUUGUAAUAAAGUUUAUCAAACGAGUAAAAUCAAAAUCAAACGACCUCUUAAAAAUAAAAGAUCAGACUUUUUUUAGUUCAAGUUAGAGUUAUGAUAAAGUCCGUGAAGGCCGGUACGUUAGACAUAGAUUUUAUGGAGUUUUUAUUUCUAAUUCUAUUUUUAUUUUUUUUGGAUGUAACAUCCCAAAAGGUGGCACGGUCUGAUUGUGUUGCUCUGCAUCUUACGGUCAACUGAAAAAGACAAGAAUUCUCUGGAAAUCUACGGGGUGAGUGUGAUUUAUAUGAAGGACCACCAGUAAGAAGGAAAUGAUUCUGAAGGCGACAUAUAAUAAUACUAGCAAUGUACCAGCACUUUGUAGUGAGUAUAAUUUUUAAGUUCAGAAUUAUUAUAUUGUACAUUAUGUAAAGUUACUUAAUAGAGUCAAAUAAAAAUACUGAUUUUUAUAUAUAUCUCCUAUUUGGAGAGAGAGAAGAGAAUAUUAAAUAAAAAUUAAAGCCAGAGAGAGAGAGUGUGCACUUUCAAACUUUCGGAUAUAGUAUAUUUUACUCAUAAUAUGAAAAAAUAAAAAAUAAAAAUUUUUAAAAAUAUAUAAUUAUUAAAUUCAAGUUUAAAAUUAUUUUAAAUAUUAAUAUUUUUGAGAGAGAAAAGUGGCAUGCAUAUUUUUCGGUAAGAGAAAAAAAAAGAGAAAAGGUAUAAAUAUUAAAUUAAAUAAAAAUUAAGUAAGAGAGAAAGUACAAUAGGGAUUUAAAAUUUUAAUUUUUAAAGUUAAAAAUUUGGGAAUAAAUAUUAUAAAUUUUAAAAUUGUAAAAUUUUAAAGUUGGAAUUUGAAAAUUAAAAUUUAAAAUUUCGAUAUCCAAAAUUUAAAAUUUUAUAAUAUAAAAUUUUAAAACCAUAUAUAUAUAGUAUUUGAUCAAAGAGCUAUUAGUAAUCAAGGAGUAUAUCCGAGGGCUUGAAACCUAGAAGUAAAAAGGGGUGAUACUUCUAAAAAUAUUCUAGCUCAAUUAUAUAUAUAGAUAUAGAGCUAGGCUGGUAUACUAUCGGUAGUACGGAAGCCUUUGUGGUACCAAGUUAUUUUCAAUGAUGCGGAUUCCAAAUCGAUAAUCGGUUCCGUUAGACUUGAUCUACAGUAUUGAAAGUAUUUGAAAACUAAUAAUUUUUCGGCAUUAUUUAUCUAUCAAACGAGAAGUCUAAAAAUAAAUAGCUGAAAAUAAAAAUCUCAUAAAAAGUGAUGAAAAAAAAUAUGAAUUUAAGAUCAGAGGUACUGGUCUUAUUCUAAAUAGUGAAAAGAAUUUUUAUAAAAAUUUCAUCAGAUUUGAAUUAUUUUAUACCGUUAAAUUGAUAAACGCAUCAAAUCUACCAUUAAAACUGUCAAUUUUGAGACCUUUUGAUCACUAGCCAAAUUAAGUCGAAAAAUUAUGAAAUUUAGUUUCUAAAUAACUUUAAUAGUGUAGAUCAAGUCUAAUAGAGCCAAUCGUCGAUUUGGAAGCUGCGUCAUUGAAAACAACUUGGUAGUACGGAGGUUUUCAUAUCAGAUAGCAUACGCUCUCUUCAUUCUCAUCAUCUCUCUCUUCUCUCUUCUAUUACUGUCUCUAUAUAUAUAAUUAUCUAUAUAUUUAUAUUUAGAAGAUCUUAAUAUAUAAUAUAUAUAUCUAUCUGGCUGGGAUACUAUCGAUAACAUGAAAUAUUUGGUGCUAUCAAGUUUUCUGCCGUUAGAUUUGCUUCUUUUAUUAUUUUCAUCCAUUCGAUUAUUCUAUUCAACUAACCACCCACUCAACCCUAGGCCGUUUUCGCUAUUAGGAGCACGAAGGCUUCCGUGCUCCUAAGCCGUUUUUGUUAAUGGAGUUUUCUAAUCGACGAUCGACUAUAUCACCAAUUUUUGUAGGAUUUUUAUUUUCAGCAGUUGAUUUUGGACUCUUACGAUUGCUAGGUAAAUAAUAUCCAAAAAUCACAAAAUUUAUUUUCUAAAUACUUUAAAUAUACUAAAUCAAGUCUAACGUAACUAAUCGUUGUUUCAGAAACUUCAUCAUCGAAAACGGCUGAGGAGCACGAAGGCCUCCGUGCUCCUAAUAGCACACGAGACCUACUCUCUCUCUCUCUCUAUAUAUAUAUAGGGAGAGAGAGAGGAGGGAAGCAUGGUUUAUGAUACACUAGGUGCAUCGAAAAUAGCCCGGGGACACGUGACAAUACAACAACAUUAGUAUAUGGACUUUAGUAUAUAUAUAUAUAUAUAUAUAUAUAUAUAUAUAUAUAUAUAUAUAUAUAUAUAUCUUGAGUUUUGCUGUGGCCUACGUGGCUGCUUCUCAGCGCCCCCCUCUCUACCGUCCUCAUUGGCGCCUGGCCUGCAUAACGUGGGUUCUCGGAAGGGCUACGUGUCGCCCUACCCGCGUCUCUCAAACCGUCUCUCGAAUCCCUCUCUCCCGAUCCCUCUCUUGCGAAGCCUAACCCUUGCAGAUCCUGCAGGAUGCGGGGUGUUGUCGCUCCCCCCGUACGUGCGGGCGCACAGCGUGCCGGAGACCUGGCUUCGCCGGUGUGCGCCGUGCCCCAACUCCUCUCUCUACGAUGGGCAAGGCGCCUGGCGCGGGUCAUGUGCACAUGGCAGAACGGGCGGGCGCGGGUGCGGGUGCGGGCGCCAGGUGUGGGUCGCACGCCGUUCACAUGGCAGGGCCUCCCUGGCUCUCUCUCUCUCUCUCUCGCGUGCGCGCGAGGGGUGCGGGUCGCCCGCACAUAGCGGGCCGCCCCCCCGGCUCUCUCUCUCUCUCUCUCUCUCUCUCUCUCGCGGGCGUCGCGGGUCGCCGGCUGUCUCCCCCCCUCUAUCUCCCCCACUUUUUCUCUCCCUCUCCCCACCCCCUGGGCUCCCUCUCUCUCUCUCGCCGGGCUGGCGCCUCCCGAAUGGGCGCAGCAGUAGGGCGCCGGCGCGUAGUGACCAGGCGCAAGCGGGUGGGCGGGUUGGUGCGGGGAGCUCGAGUCGGCCCGGACUACCGGCGUGGGGGUGGCGGGCGAGGCGAGGGAGGAGCGUGGGCUCGUGCGAGUUGAGAGUCCAAGGGCAUGGGGAGAGGGGAAUAGUGUAUUUUUUCAACUCUUCAAAUUUUCCUUUUUUUUUUAAAAAUCUAUUCAAUUUUUUCUUUUUUCAAUAUUAAAUUUUAAAAUAUAUAAAUAAUUUUUAACAUAUAUUAUUAUUUGAUCAUUAAAUAUAAAUUUUAAUUUUAUAAUUAGAUAUCAGAUUCCUGCUGGCCGGCUCCGGCUGUGGCGGCCUAUCGUCGGUGGCCGGGCUCGCGCCGCUGGGUGUGAGGUGGCAUACUCGACGGUGCCGGGCGGGGAGUACGGCGAAACUAGCGGCGGGAGGGGUGGGCUGGCGGGGAUUGGAGCGCGCGGGGAUGUCGCGCAGCGCGGCACGUCCGGAGGCCGCGAGCGAUCUACUGGGUGCGAGAGGGUGGAGAGGAUGCGCAAUCCAUUUGGGAGUGGGAGAGAUCGGGAGUUCCCUAAUUUUACAAUUUUACAAUUUGUAAAAAUAUAAAAUUUUAGGUUUCAAAUAUUAGAUUUUAAAUUUUAUACCCUCCCCUCUCUCUCACUCUCUCUCUCUAUAUCUAAAUUUAAAAUUAAAUAUUUAAAAUUUAAACUUUUUUACUAUUUGAGAUUUAAAUUUAAAUUUAAAAUAUAAAAUAGGAAAAAUUAAAAUUUAAAUUUUAACAGUUGGAAUUGAAAUUGCAACAUUUGAAAUUUAAUAUUUGAUUUUUUUAAUUUCAAUUUAUAAUUUAAUAUUUAAAAUUUUGAAUUUUAAAAUUUAAAACUUAAUAUUUAAAAUUUUAUAUUUUACCUUAAUUGCUAAAACUAAAUGUUACGUCCCGGAUUCCUCGUUUCCUCGGGCACGCUAAUAGACCUACCGUAUAUAUAGAAAUUUUUUCUGUAUACAAAACGAAACUGUACAAGAACCUGAAACCAAACAUACUAUAACCAGUAGUACAGAGCUGAUAGAAAGGAAAAAAACAUAUAUAAACACAGUGGUGCAAUACAUACAUAGCAUCCAGGUACAAACAUACUUACUUCAGUAAGGUAUAACAUCCGAAUGUAAAGAACCAAAAACUACAACUACCUGUAGCUAGUACUCCCCUAACUCUGCGACUCGUCUGGAAGGGCUCUAAUUCGCAACGCCCUUUCCACGAUUAGUCUCGGUAGUAGCAGCAGCCGGAACAGAAGGCUCUGCAAAAGAGGGGUAAUAAAUGGGCGUGAGAACUACUGCAAAAACAAGUAGUCCUCAGUGGGUAUCGCCCUCAACUCAUAGGCUCACCUACUAAGUCUACAGAUGUCUGCUCAAAAGAUAAUAAGAGAACUAAAAACAAUCUACAGCUACAUGCUACUAUACUAUCAUGAUCCAACACUACUAUCUGUAGAAUAAGACAAGCUCUGACCCAAUCUCUUUAGGGACUGUAAACAUACCUGUCUCAGAGAUUGUGAGCACACCCGUCCCUAGGACUGUGAGCACACCCGUCCCGCCUGUCAAGGCUAUACAGCUACCUCCACACUAAGCAGUCCGUGGAGAGCAAGUCCAGCCAGGACAUAACGACACCAACGCAAACGCACAAAACCCAACUCCGAAGUGGCACUCGUGGGCGCUACUCAACCGAGUAUGGAAGCGUAUCUCUGUUGAGCUCAAUCAGACUCUCACAAGCUAAGAUCCAAGUAAACAGGGUUCAACUGGUCUAACAACUAAACUCACGUGCUCUCGGUACAAUCUGAUGCAAAAACAGCAAUCUGGGUCCACCGUCAACCUCAACGGCACCCGACAGUCCGGAACAGCCUAAACACUGCUGUAAAAAUAAGCUCGGCAUCUUAGCAUGAGCGUAAAUACAUUCUAUACUAUUCUGGGUAUCCACCGCCGAUAAACUGCAGUGAUACAAAUAAACUAUAGUUCAUAGAGCUGAAUCUGGUAGUUUUAACAUAUGACAGUGUAGAAGCGCUAGUUUUCUCCUAAGUCAAAUUCAAAUCCAACAUGUAUAAUUUAUUAACUUACUACAGCAUGCUGCAAAUUCAGAUUUCAAUUAACAUACUAAUCGAUGAAUUCGAGCUAAAAACAGGAUAUACAACUGCUAAAUAUAUAUAUGUUGACUACGCGUACACUUAGGAGGAAAAUCCGAUGAUUAACCCACCUUAAGCGCUAAAUCCAUGGCAGCGAGGAGUCACCGGAAUCCCUGUCAAUCUCUGCCACAACCAGCAACCAAACAAAUCCAAGGUCUACACAAAAAUCCACCAAAAAUCCAUCAAUACUUCAAAAAUUCAGCACUUAAGCUAAUAUCAUCCAAUUCCAAUGUGAACUUUACCUUCCAAAGCUCAAAUCAGAUGAAGGAAGGCCCCAAAACCAGUGGGCUGUGCUGGAGUAUCAAGCUCUGGUUCACAAUCCAGCUCCUUCAAAGAAUUGCUCCAAGAAAAUCACAACAAAGUCAAUUUCAGCUCAAACCACCAGCAGUAGAGAAGAAUACGAAAAUGACUGAGCUAGGCUUAACCAAAUUCUGUCAAUUUGGACUCCACGAAUUUCUCUUGAAGUCUAGAAUCCAGCAAACCAAGUUUCGUGGCAAACGGAGUUUUUUACGUUGCACACGAAUCGAAACACCAAAAGUCGCCGCUGGAAAACUGCUAGAACUGCAGCCUUCUAGUUGAAAGUGCACAAAUUGGAGGAAUUGAAGCAAUUUGAGGUGCUAGAUGCAAUUCUAAGCCUUUAUUGUGAAGAAAGGAUGAAAAGGGUUCACUGAGGGCGUACAUAGCCUAUUUAUAGGGAGGUGAAAAGAUAAGGUAAACCCAAAGAACUCCAAACACAAAUCUGCUGCCCCUACAGAAAUCCCCACUUUCGGGCGUCCAAAACAUACAUCUGGGCGUCUGAAAUCUCCAGGCUAUACAAAAGCUUACCAUUGGUUCCUCCACUGCGGUGUGCUGCGCCCAUAACCGGCUCCGGCGGACCUCACCUACCACUAGCCACGCGUCAACUCAAAUAAUAUUCACGAGGUGAACUUUCGGACCCACAACCGGGUGCCCGAAACUAAGAUCCGAAUUGGCUUCCAGUUCAGUUCAAACCAGCACUUAAAUUCUGGGCGACCCAAAUUUGGUUAUGGGCGUCCGAAUCUGGCAAAACUCUAGUUUUGCUUAUUUGAGUGCGCCGAAUCCAUUUAUGCAUCCAUUUUGUACAGAAACGAUUCUGACUUAGUCUGACACUCUCCAGAUGUGUCAACUAGUCACUAGUACUGUAGCCAAUCCUAUCCAAACCUCUGAAACACUAUACUAAAUUUUGAAAGUUUAUUGCUUUAAAUUUUAAAUUUUAGUUUCUAAAUUUUAGACUUUAAAUUUUAUAUUCAAAUUAUGAAUUUUAAAGUUUAAAAAAGUAUCUCUCUUAAUUUGUGCGAGGAAACAAAUUAUAGAUGAGUUCUCAGUGUAACCGUAAACCAUAUUCCUACUCAAAAACAAUCAUCAUGAAUUACAUAAAGCAAACACGGACUCAUACCUAUCCGCCCUGAUGAAAAGAACCACACUUUGAAGGAAAUACAGAAAAUAGAAUGACACAAAAUCCAGCAACAUUUGUCACAAAUGUCCACAGAAACCGAAUUUAUUAUCAACAGAAUAGAGUUCAUCAUUGCCAAAUAAAUGGAAUCUUUAUAAAUUAAGCUUUCUUGACAAACCCAAUUCACUUCCCACAUCACAUCUUCCGUGCAACUCAACAAAGAACCCGUGGAUAAUCAGUGAAUCUCCCAAAAAUCUGAUUUUCAUAUUAGAAAGAAUAGAUUUUUUUUAAAAUUCUCUCGGGCAAUUCCUGCGUAACCCCUUACCCUCAACAACGCAGCUGAAUCAUCUCAAGAUAUUUGAUACAUACAAAAAGGUUCAAAUUAGCUGAACUCUGAAUUUUCUACCUGAAUUCUGAAUUGGGAAUUCAGAAAAGUCUAUAUAAAAUUAAAUAUUUUAAAUAUAGAAACUGAAUUACGAUAAAAUGUAUUUUUUAAAAUUUAAAUUGUUAAAUUCUAAAUUUCAAAUUGCUACAUUAAAAAAAAAGGGAUUUUAAUUUCGUAUGUACAAAAUUAAAUUUUUAGAUAAUUAGAUAUUUUAAAUUUUAAAUAAAUUACAUAAAUUUUUUGCCGCGAAGCGCGGGCCUUCACUAGUAGUAAUAAAUUUCUCAGUAAUACCCGGCCACAUUGUGCUUCCAGCUGCAUGAAAUAUCUGUUAUAGAAAUAAAAAAAAAUCUAAAAUAUUUUUGGUGAGAAAUCCAAUAUAUUCAUUUUUUAAUUUUUAGAAGUUUAUCCAGUAGCUGGAAUUGCCGUGCAGUUCUAAACACUCCAGGCCAGAUAAAGUCUGAAAACAUUCACCAUUCUCGGAUUGAAAAAGUAGGCCGCGUCUUCUUUGGCGAGAGGUCACGAAACUUCGUGACAUAAUCCAAAAAAUUAUGUUGUUGUCAUCUUGUGGACUAAAAUGCAUAUAAUAAUUGGUGGAAGAUGUGGAACUGCAUAUUUUAUUAGUUUGAAAACUUAAUUUUAUAUAUAUAUAUAUAUAUAUAUAUAUACAUGUUUAGUGGCUACAUACUACUUCCUUUAAUAAGUUAUAAUAAUUCUAAACAUCGUUUUCAAUGGUCAAUUCUCCACCCCGCCAAAUUAAGUAUAUGAAAUGGCUUGCAAGGGCUCAAUUUAUUAAAAUAUAAGAUAAGUUUGUGCAAAUCCCUCAAUUUUAGGAUCUCAACUUCAUAAUUAAUGGCGUAUAUAAAUAUUGCUUUAUGGUGCACUAAUGCUUCUAAAUCUUUUAGUGCUUAUGUUGCUGAAUCUUUUAGCAACAUAUUAAGAAACUAUUACGGAUGUUGAGUAAUUAGUAACACUUAAUAGAUGUCGUAAUAUAUAUUAAAAAAAUCUAAUAAGACAUUUCCUACACGGUGGUGUAUAUAAUUUAGGAAGAACUUCAAAUACCACCUAUGUGGUUUCACACUUUUUUACUUUAGUACUCUAUAGUUUAAAGUGUAUCAAUUUAGUUCGCUGUUAUUUUAUUUUUAUCUUUUUUAUUAUUGAUUCCACUAAUUUUUUUCGUUAAAUCAGUGAUAAAGUUACAAUUAAAGGAUACUAAAGUAAAUAUUCGAUAAACCUAGGUGAGUUAUCUGAAGUUUUUUUGUACAUAAUUUAACGAAAUAUUAACGAAAAAAUUGACGAAAAAAUAAAAAUAAAACCACAGGAUACUAACUUGAUACGUUUUAAACCACAUGGUACUAAAGCAAAAAAGUGUAAAAUCAUAGGAGUGGUAUUUGAAGUUUAUCCUAUAAUAUAAUUAAUUCUUGCAUAGAUAAAUUGUACUAAUUAUUUCUGAAUAAAUUUUUUAUUAAUAGCUUUUAAAAUUAAUUAUUUUUUGACCAAUCACUCCAAUUACAGUUGAUACAAAUGAUUCGUACUAAAUAAUAAAUUAUAAUUUCAAUAAUAUAAUUUAGCAAACAUCAAAUUAAUAUAUACUAUUGACUUAAAGAGACUAGUCUCCUGCAUUGUGGCAGGAGGCCAGGCUAGGCCAAGUCACGUUCGAAACAACGGGAGGACGGGUUAGGCCAAGUCAUGUUUCAAGUGGCGUGAGGCUGGGUGGGCGGCGUCACAAUCAAGACUCAUGGACGCUAUGUUUAUACGCUUUAAGUGAAUUGAUUACGUAUUUCUAACAGUUUGAGUUUUUUAAAUAAAUGGUUAGAGCCAACGACUCGACAAGUGGUGCAUCUUGCCAUGUAGCAGGAGAUCUGGUUGGGCCGAGUUGUGUUUGAAGUGGCGUGGGGCUAGUUGGACCGAGUCACAAAUGAGACCCGUGUACACUGUGUCUGUAUACUUUAAAUGAAUUGAUUUGCGUAAUUUAAAUUAUUAUAUACAUUAGAUAUUUAAAAACUUUCAGCAAAUUUGAGUUUUAUAAUCACAUCACAAACAAUUAAUACCAAAAAAAUCUUAUCAAAUGAUAUUAGCAUCUCACCAACAACUAUACGAUACAAAAGAGAUAUCAUCAAAGCAACUAUNUUUUUUUAAAUUUAAAUAUGAUCUUAAAUUUAAAGUUUGAAAUUUAAAAUUUAAAAUUUUGAAUUUAAAAUUUGAGAUUUUAAAUUUCAAAGUUAAAAUUUUAAAUUUAGAAAUAUAAAUUUAAAAAUUUUAAAAUUCAAAUUCAAAUAUAAUAAGUGGAUAAUAUCAUUAUUUUUUAUUUACAAAACCCAUUAUCUUUCUUAUUCUAUCUUACCUAACCAAACGCUAUUUUUUUUUAUUCCAGGAAUAACCCAAUUUUCAUCCAAACGCAAAAUUGAUCUAAUCCUCGCUUAUACCUCAAUUUAUACCUAUCCCUGGAAUAGCCACUUUUUUCUUAUCCCCGAACCAAACGAUACCUAAGUGAAUUGAUUAUGUAUUUCUAACAGUUUGAGUUUUUUGAAUUAAUGGUUAGAGCCAACGACUCGACAAGUGGUGCAUCUUGCUAUGUAGCAGGAGAUCUGGUUGGGCCGAGUUGUGUUUGAAGUGGCGUGGGGCUGGUUGGACCGAGUCACAAAUGAGAUCCGUGUGCAUUGUGUCUGUAUACUUUAAAUGAAUUGAUUUGCGUAAUUUAAAUUAUUACAUACAUCAGAUAUUUAAAAACUUUCAGCAAAUUUGAGUUUUAUAAUCACAUCACAAACAAUUAAUACCAAAAAAGAUCUUAUCAAAUGAUAUACAAAAGAGAUAUCAUCAAAUCAACUAUAUGAUACAAAAGAGGUAUCAUCAAAUAAUAUUUGUAGGCAUAGCCUUAAGUGUUGCUAAGAAAAUGUUGAUAAAUUUUGACUUUGUUGUAGUGUUCAUUGAUACUUUUGUAACUUCAAUUUUUUUAAAAAAAUUAACUUUUAAAAGUAUAUUAUGUUAAAAUCUUUUAUUAAAUUGCGAGACUCAAUUAGACAUUUUCAGAUAAUUAAUUAAUUUUACAAAUUUAAAUUUAUUUGGUCAAAAUUACUUAAUUAAUAAAAAAAUCAAAAGUUGAGGGGAUCUUAAUAAAAAGAACAAUACUAUCUAUAUAUCCCCAAAAGGGUGUAAAUCUUACAUUCCACUCAGUGAAAUUUCUUUCUCACUCUUAUUGAUAUAACGGGCGGAAAAUUCUAACCCAUAGGAUGGUGGGAUGUAAGAUAUCACACUCCAAAGUGAAUUGCACAAGUAAUAUUUUUCAAAAUAUAAACAUAUAAUUUUCUAAUAGCAUAAAUUUUCAAAGAGAUAAACGAUUGUUUUCAUAUAGUAUUAGAGUUAUAGGUCAUAAAUUUUAGUGUUUAGUUCAGAUAAAAAAAUAUUUUACUCAAUAUUAAGGUAAGAGGUUGUAAGUUUAAAUCUCUCGUUCGGACUUGCAAAUAUGUAUAAAGCAUAUUAUGUAUUUAAAGCUUUUCUUUGACUCCUAUAUCUUAAGGUAGAUGUGUGUGAGAAACGUUUGGGAAAACUUCAAAAUAAUAAAUUACGAGAAAUAUGGAAAGAAAUGUGUUUAAUUUUAUGUAAUUUAAACUUUAGUAUAUAUAUCUCUAUGAUUUAUGGUGCUAUAUUAAUUACACUAUUAAAUCACGUAGUAAUUAUAAUUGGUAAAUUGUAAUGACCUAAAUACGUCGGAGAGAAGAGGCAUGACGAAUAGUGAGAGGCGGUGAAGGAGCGCCUUGUUUAUUUCGUUUUAGAAAUAAACUUAGCUAGAAAUGUGAAUUAAUUAGGCUUUGAAUCUCGAAUCUCGGAUAUCAACUACUAAGCUUUUUGCCACUCGCGCUAGGGACGGUCGGUUAGAUACCCGAG
This 48046-nucleotide long non-coding RNA is filed under the name Ananas comosus (pineapple). RNAcentral's name for it is "long non-coding RNA (ACOM_LNC020812)". The record is from RNAcentral. Lineage: Eukaryota; Viridiplantae; Streptophyta; Magnoliopsida; Poales; Bromeliaceae.